AAUCCUAAUUCUAAUAGAAUACUAAUUAUGCUCUAAUUAGACCAUAAUAAUGCUAAAUAAGCUUAAUCAAAUUCAGAAAACCUCAAAGAAAUUUCAAACAAACAAUAAGAAUUCUUAAAGAAAUAUUAGAAGGAUGACAAAUAUCACUCAAAUAUAUCUCAAUUCAAUCUUAAUUUGAUUCUAGUUAAAAUCCUAUUGAACUUCAUUCAAACUUUAGGCCAAAACUAAUUGAAUCUUAAAUCCUAAUAAAAUCCUAAACCCUAAAUCAAAUCCUAAACAAACCUUAAAUCAAAACCCAACGAAAUCCUAAAUCAAAUACUAAAUCCUUAAUCAAACCCUAACCAAAUCCUAAUCCAAAUCCUAAACCCUAAAUCAAACCCUAACCAAACCCUAACCAAAUCCUAAACCAAACCCUAGUAAUUCCUACAAUAGAUUUAAACCUCAAUAACUAAUGAAUAAACUAUCGAUCUUAACUCAAAUUUUGCACACUUCUUAAAAACUAAGUUGAAAACAAGCACAAAAAAAUUGAAAAAGGAUCGAAGUUACCACAUUGACGAUAACCUCAAAAAUGUGCUCAAGUAUUAGCUGGCCUCCUUCUCCAAUCUUGAUGCCAAUCUUCCAGAGCCAAUAUCUCUUCUUUGCACCAUUCUAUUGAACUUAAAAUUUUCAUACACAUAAAAAAACAAGUCUUAUAUCUUCUCACACAAGUUUCACUCCAAUCCAAUAAGUAGAUUACAAGAAAUCUUAAAAACCCUCACUAAACCUAAAAUUCUACUUUCUGAGACCUUGAUCCACUUAAACCUCAAUAUCCUUCAAUUCAAUAAUUAGAUUGAGCUCAAAUUUACAAAACAUAUUGAACACAACUAUAACCAUAAAUCCAUAAAAUUUCACCCAUAGAUCUACUACAAAACUCUUGAAAUCAUCCAAAACGUAAAUCCUAUUUUAUUUCAUAAAACCUAAGUCAUCUAAAACAAACCUUGACUUUGCAAAGCUUUUACAAAGUCAAAAAAACUCCAAAUCACCCAAAAUCAAUGCCUAUAGAAAUCCUAUCUAAUCUGCUAUCAAACCCCACUCUCCGAUCUGCCAAAGAAUUAUAGAGUCGUCGUCGAGACUCGGUUUUGUGCCUCAGGGUCUGAUUUCAAUCCUGGUUCAUAACCGGCCCUCUCCAGGUAUCAACAUCUAGUUUUCUUAAGUAAUUUUUACUAGAAUUUAUUCUUAACUUCCUCCUAAAGAUGUCUAUAUCAUUGAUUUUUCCAAUCUACCUUAUUUUGCCUUAUUUUUGGCCCUACAAAGUAAGUAGAAGCUAUUUUUUCUAAAAGGGCAGCAUUACUACUAAAAGUUUUACUACCUUCCUAUCUUUUAUCCAUAUUUCUCUACCUUUUCUUUUAACUUGGCUCUUCUAUAAUAAGAUCCAGAUUUUCAUCUUUCACCAUAUAGUCAUAUUACAACAUAACAACGUCACCAUGGAGAACUCAUGUAUUCUUUGCACCUAAAAAGAAUAGUGGACUUUGGUAUUGCAUUGAUUAUUAAGGCUUCAAUAAGUAGAUUUUCAAAAAUACAUAUCCACUUCUACGCAUAAAUAAUCUUCUUGACCAACUUCAAAAUGUAACGAUCUUUGACAAAUUGUACCUUUGGAGUAGCUAUUGGCAGAUACCUAUUACCAGAGAGUAUAUAAAAAAGACAGCCUUUCAUAUAUACUAUGGAUGUUUUGAAUGGCUUACUUUACUUUUUGGCUUCAUCAGUACUCCAACUUCUUUUAUAGGUCAUAUAAAUAAAUUAUUUUGAGAUAUUUUGGAGAAGUAUGUAGUUGUCUUCAUUAAUAAUAUGUUAGUCUAUAGUAAAACCUUUGAGAAGCAUGAGCAACGUUUGUAGAAAGUAUCAAAUCUAUUAUAAGAUAUUUAUUUUUAUUGCAAGUAAUCAAAGUAUGAACGUUAAAAGUUAGAAGUCAUUUUUUUGGAGCAUGUCAUAUCCUACGAAGAUGUAUGCAUGGAACAAGAUAAGAUAAAAGCAAUAAAAGAUUGACCAAUUUUCAAGGAUUCUUCUGAAGUCUGCUCAUUCUUAUGCUUUACUGGAUAUUAUUACUGUUUUGUUUGGCAAUUUGUACUCAUUGUUGCUUCAUUGAAAAACCUAUUGGAGAAUGGUGCUCCAUUUGAAUGGAAUCCAAAGCAAAAAAAAAGACUUUUAAUUAGUUGAAGGAGGCAUUCAUUGUUGCUCUAAUAUUACAAUUGUAUGAUUUCAACCUUCUUUGUAUACUUGACAUUGAUGCUUUUGACUUUGCUAUUGGCACAAUCCUUCAAUAAGACUUUAGUAGGGGCCUUCAAUCUAUGGCAUAUAAAUCACGCAAGCUUAGAAGGCAGAGUCUAAUUACUCUACAUGUAAUCGAGAGUAACUAAUAAUUAUAUAUACCAUAAAGGUAUGGCAAUACUAUCUAUUGAGGAAUCUAGUGACUGUUUGGACUAACCAUUGUUCCCUACUACAUGAUUUGCAUAUGAAAAAUAUGAAAUUAUAACAUCAUUGUUGGAAUAAAUAAUUGCAGUUCUUUGACAUUUAGCUUCAAUACAAAUAAGGGCAAUACUACACCAUGGUAAAUACCUUAUUGCAUAGAUCAGACUUGAAGCUCAAAUUAAAAAAUAAGGUAGAAGUCACUACUAUUACUAAUAUUAUUUCAAACUUAAUUAAAAGGAGUGAAAUAGAAGGAAGCUAUGCAUUGAGAUGCUUAUUUUGAAAUAAUUAUUCAUCAGCUAAAAGUAGAUGAUGUGUAAUAUUAAGAUUAUUGUCUUAGUGAUGGCUUAGUCUAUUUCAAGAAGUGGAUUUAUAUACGUCACAAUGCUGUAUUCUAAACAUGCAUACUUUAAGAAGGACAUGAUAUUUCAAUAUCUAGACAUUUAAGGCAUAAAAAGAUCCUAGAAUGGAUCUCAAAGAUAUAAUUUUGAAUAAGUUUGGAUCAUGAUAUUUGAGCUUUUCAGCACUUCUAUAAGUCAUGCCAACAUAACAAAGCAUACAAUGUAGCAUCUCUUAGACUAUUGCAGCCAAUUCUACUAUCUACGGUAUAUUGAAAGCAAGUGACUAUGGAUCUCAUUAUGUGUUUGCUGUAGAUGCUUGAUAAUCACAUCGCGGUUGUUGUCUUUGUAGACCAACUCUUGAAGCAACUUCAUUUGACUAUAAUGCGUUCUAUUAUUGAUGCCCAAUACUUAUACGGAUUUUUUUUGAUACUAUCUUUCGUCACCAUGAGUUAUCUCAUGUUAUUAUUUUAAAUCAAGAUCUACGCUUCAUGAGAAAUUUUUGACAAACUUUCUUCAAGCUACUAAGCAAACGACUUGCUAUGUCCAUGGCCUUUUAUCUUCAAACAAAUAGACAAACCAAGCAUGCAAAUUGGACCUUAGAAGAUAUACUACACACAUUUGUGGUGGUUCAUUAUAAUAACUAGAAAGAAUAUUUGACAUUCUUAAAAUUUUCUUAUAAUGAUAAUAUUUAAGCAAGUACUAUUCAUUCACCAUUUGUCAUGGAUAUAUGCAUGUAAGCCAAUAAUUACAUAUAUAAAUAGGUAGAAGUAAGUAAAAGUAAGUAAAAGUGAAUUAAUUCUAUAGUAUUUGAUAUAGAAGCUUUCUAGAAGCUUCAUAGAUGCUUCUUUGACUUUAUAGGUGUCUUUAAUUGAUUUUUUGGGAUUAGAAACGUGGUCAACAAGUUGGCCAUGUGCCACACAUGUUGUUAGCUUGAAGGCCAAGCUAACUAUGUGGCCCAUAUGUAAAAAAACUUGCCUUAUAAGUCAAGGCAUGUGUCCUAUAAAGUCAACACAUAUUAAAGGUCCUAUAAAACGUUGCUAUCAUACUAUAAAUGCUUACAAUAUGUAAAAAUUAGUUAAAACAUAUUAUAUGUUGAUAAAUCUAGAUGUAUAUUAGAGUGGCUAGUAGAUUAAAUUAAAAGGAGUUGGUAUAAGAAACUUUACUUUGUUUCUUUACUUCUUUUGAUUUUGACAUUAAAAAAAUUAUAUAUAUAAGACUUAAAUGUUUAGUAUGAAGCCUUGGGAGAAGGUGGAAACCUAAGGAUGAAAAUCUAAACUAGUAGGAGGCUAAUUGAGAGGGAUGAAAGUAAGGCAUAGUCGGAUGAAGGCAAGGAAUGGAGAACUUCAUCCCUAUUGGUCGAAUACCAUGUCCAAUGGACUUUGAGGAGGGUGCCUGCGACCUUAAGAAGGGUUUCGGCGACUUCAAAGAGAGAAUUCGGAGAUUACAAGUUAGGGUUGUAAAGUUUAGGAUUUGGGAUACAAUUUCUGUGCAAAAAUUAAAGGAUUUAGAAUUAGGAUGAAAAAAUUAUAGUCGUUUGAAGUUAAGGUGUUUAUUUAAGAUAUACUGUUACUCUUUUGAGAGUACGAGGAGUUUUACAGUAGCUUUUGAAGAUCGGAAUGUGCGACUGGAACGGCGAUUUCAAGGCCUACAUCUUUCACGAAAAAAUUAUUACUUUUGGAGUUCAUAUAAAGGAGUUGUAAGGAGUUGAAGGCAGCGCUUCCAAAUCAAAGGCAGUAAGUAAGCGGUUUUGUUUGUAGUAAUGGUUGGAGCCAUAACUUGAGUAUUCGGAUGAAUUUUUGGCUCAAACUUUUGGAAAAUGUAAAUUUUUGUGUUAAAAAGCUAUACAUACAAAUUUCGUGGCAUUUGAGCUUAUAUUUUUUGAGAUAUGAAGAAAAUUGCACGCGGAUGUAUAAAGACAAGGGUUUGAAGUGACUGUUAGGGUUUUCAAGAUAUCUCAAGAUCUGCAAUGAAUUUGUUGUUGAAAUUUGUUGUAAAAGUUAAUAAAAAUACAUCAGUACUUCAUGUAAAAUUUGAGUUUGUUUGGACGGUCGGAUUAGGAGAUAUGAGGUGUUGAAAUUAAAAAAAAAUCUCCACAUAAGAAUAAACAAGGUUUUAGAAGAUUUUAUCAUAUUUUGGAAGUUGUGGGUUACUUGAGGAUUGUGUAUUUGGUGUAAUUACUCAAAAAGAAAAAAUUAUAUAUAAACUUAGGACUUUCUUUAUUUUCAAGCUUGAUCGAAUAAUUAGUGACAUCCAAAAGCCCAGCGUUUUUUUGAGGCAAACUCUCUCUACUCCGACAUCACGACAUAACACCUAGUUAGAUAGUAUAUAUAGAGACAAGAGUGAAGCCUUCUUCACUCUUAUCAACUCCUUUCUUGCUUCCAGUCUAAUUUCAAGGAUCUCUAAUUUUCUUGGCUUUUGGCAAUAGCCAUUCCAGUUUCUUUCUUAAUAUAUAUAUCAAGUUAUUUCUAUUUUAUCAUCUUUCUUUGAGAGAAGUCUCACUUGUUUAUUUUUCUUUAUCAUAUUCUUGUCCUUGACACCAUUUUUCUUUAACACCACUCAAUAUCCGAUUAUGCUAGCAACUCUCUAUCAUCCUAUUGAUAUUAAUAAUUUGACAAUGAAAGAGUUCAUACAAUAACUUAUAAUGGCCUUGCAAGAAGCAUUGCCUUUUUAUCACAUAGAAUCAAUACAAGUAAUAUGUGGAUAACUAUUGACAACAUAAGACCUAGCAGGGUGAUCAAGUAAUAUUCUCUAAUACUAACUUUCUACUUGCUACAUCAAUUGAAAUUUUUAAGUUGGCACCUUGAUAGCUUAGACCUUUCCAUAUUUUUGUAGUGAUUUCUAGUGCUGUAUACUACCUUAAUCUUUCGCCACAUAUUUGGGUUUAUUUGAUCUUCUAUGUUUUGUAACUUAAAGAGUUUUAUAUUGAGCCAAGGCGCUUUUAGAAUCAAUACCAAGUACCACCACUACCACUACUAUCACCACUUAUUAUAAUUGAUGACCAAUUUUGGUCUAUGUUGUCGUACAUUGUAAUAAGAUUUAUAUUGCUAUGGAUUGAAAGGAAUUUAGAUCUUAGAGAUAAUCUAGUUCCAUUUUAUCUAAUCUAGUUCUAAGAGUUUCUAAUUUUUUAGUCUUUAGCAAAAGCCAUUCCAAUUUCUUUAUAUAUAUAUAUAUAUAUAUAUAUAUAUAUAUCAUCUUUCUUUGUAAAAUUAUUUACUUAUUUAUUUAUAUUCUUUGAAUUUUUAUCCUUCAUAAAUAGUUGUGUUAGUUUUAUCCAAUUUUUCUAUAUUCUCUCUAAUUUUUUUUUUCAAUUCUAUACCAAUUUAAAUAAAAAAGGCUCAUGUUGGAUUUUUGAAGACGGAAGAGAGGCCAUAGUACAAGUGAGACUUUUUCUUGUACAUGUGCUUUGUGGCUUUAUUACAUUUUAUUUUUUUCAUAAAAGAUUCUAAAUUUAAGACUUCAAAAGUUGUUGCUAAUGUGAUAAGAGUUUUUUAUGAAUUAUUGUAAUUUUUAAUAACAUACUUUUUAAACUUGAAUUAUAUAAAAUUUCUUCAUUUAAUGAAGUUGGCAUUAACUAUGAAUGUUGUUAAAAAUUAUUAAAAUAAAGAGAUUUUAUUUGCUCAUAUUAAUCACUUUUAUUUGUAGAAAUAUUAAACAUCAAUUAUAAUCUAUAAGAAAUCAAUGGAAUCUAAGAUAUAAUGGUCAUCUACUAUGCAACUAAUGGUUUUAAAACUUUUAAGAAUCUUGUGCAUGGCAAAAUAGAAGAUUUUUUUUGAAGAUAAUAUGGCACUAAAAAGAUUGACUUGUAAGAAUAAAAUUUUAGUGAAUUUGUAUGAAAUUCUAUACCAAAUGAUAUAAUCUUGACUAUAUAUAUAUAUAUAUAUAUAAUUGUAUUUUUUACAUGCUUCUAAGUUUUUAUUUUAUGUCACUAUCCAUAUCUUCACAACUAAGUGAUUUCUUUCUAUACAAGACAUAAUCAAAUCUCUAAAAUAUAUCACCUUUAUCAUCCAUGCACAAACAAAACAAGUCCAAUGCAAGGUCCAAGUUUCUCACAAGUAGUUAAUAACUUCUUUUCUAAUGAUUUGAGCUCCCUAUAGCUCUAUCUGUAAGAUUUAAUAUAUUUCUUUUAUAUCAUUGCAAACAAUAUCCAUCCAAUGUAAUAUGAAGGCUUUAAAAUCUGCAUUGGUCUUAAAUUACUUCUUACUUUUUGCCUAAAUAUUCUUUUGGGUGUACCAAGCACAAAGCAAGUUAAUCACAAUGUUAUCAAAAACUUCAUUUAUAAUUCAAAAUCUUAAUUACUAAGCUUCUUGUAUUUUUGAAUAGAUACCUUGUCUUAUAAUAUUGAUGUAUUUAUGACAAUGAUAUUAUUGUGUAUACAUGAAGCUAUAUAAAAAGAAGUAUCUAUAUAAUAAAAGAAAGAUUUAACUAAGAAUUUUAAAAAAUAAACAAACAUCUAUAUUUUAAGAUUUCUAUUACUUAAUUGAACUAAUUGAGGCUAUAAGAAUUAAAUAUAAAAAAGAUAUUUUAAAUAUCAAAAUAUAUUAAUAUUCUUAUUUCAUAUUAAUAAAAUUGAUAAGUAUAUUUAAAAUCAUUUAAUAUUUUUUAUAAAUAAUUUUUUAUUCAUGGUUCUAUUAAUAUUUGAUCAUAUAAAAUCUAAUAAUUUAUUUUAGCAUAAAAAAACCAACAUUCUACAUUGUAGAAACAAUAUUGUCAAGAAAGUCAAUACAUAAGCUUAAUAUGUAGUUGUGUCUUUAAAUAAGUAUCUUCUAAAAUUAAUAUUUAUUAGAAAUGCUAUAGAAGUAUUUUCAGAUCAAGUUUCUUUUAAGAAAAUAAAGUAAAUAUCUUCUAAAAAGGUUUCUUCUAAAAGCAUUAUUUUAGAAGAAAGUAAAAGAAUCUAAUUUAGAAACUAUGUAAAAGUCUUAUUUUAUACUUUAAGUACUUAUUUAAUUACAAGAAUAGUAUUAUUUACAGCAACAAGCUAAUUUUUAUGUAUAUAUAAUUUUUAUCUAAUAAAAAUAGUAUUGUAGAUCAUUUAAAAUAUUACUAAUAUAAUAUUUUUUAAAUAAAAUAUUUAUUAUUAUUAUAUUAAAUAUUAUUAAAUAUAAAUAAGUAAUAAUUAUAGAUUUAAGGUUAUGUAUUUAGAUUAAUUGAGUAACAAUUUAAUAGUAUGUGAAAAUUCUACUUUAUUUUAUGACUUUUUUGCUAUACCUAAUAAAUAAAAUUUAAAAAUUAAAGACUAAAAUUAACAUAAAAUAGGUUUUAAAAAAAACUUUAGAUUUCAUUCACACAAUAUAACUUAUUUGUGGACUUUUUCAAUUUGAAUGACUUUAUAGUCAUUUUUUAAAAUAAGACUUAACCAUUAGAUUUUUAUGGACUUAGCAUCUACAUUAUAAUAUACUUUAUACUUAAUUUUAAGGAUUUAAAGUGUAUAUAUAUAAAAGACAAAGAUAUAAUUUUAAUUGAUAUCUAUAAGAUAAGCUAUUUAUAAGCAAAUAAUUUUUAUAUUAAAUAUAUUGGAAUAUUAAAAAAAUAAUUAAAAUAGAUAGAGAAAAAAUACAUAGAAUAUAUAUAUAUAUAAUUUUAAUUAUAAAAAAUAAUAAUUUAUUAUAUGAUUAAUUUCAUAAUUCAAUUAUUCAUAAUAUUAUUGUAAAGUGAUUACAUAAGUGAUUGUUGUAGAAAACUUGUUUAGACUUUUAAAGAAAAGAAAUACUAAAUUAAAAAGUGAAUCCCUUUUUUCUUUAGAAAAUAUCAUUUAGAUUUGAUACAAACUUAUAAAGUGGUAGAAUCCUUAUUUGAUUUUAAUUUAAAUAAAAAAUAUAUAAUUAAUAAUUAAUUGUGAAAUAAUUGUUUCAUAAAAUUAUAAUAUCUUUGUAUAUCAUGUAUUGAAAUAAGAUCUCUUUUUGGAGUAUUUAGCAAUAGUAUAGAUUGAUAUUUUAUUAGCCAUGAAAUAAUUUGAUUGUUGUGAUGAAAGAAGAGCUAAAAUAACAAGUCACAAUAAAAUAUAUUAAUUGACUGAUUAAAAUAAUAAAUAAUACUAAUAAAAGUAAAAAUUAGUUAUAAUUAGAAAAAACAUAACUAUAUCUUUAAUAGGCUAAUUAAUGACCAAAGAUUUUAGAUACAAAAUAUGGAAAAAGAAAAUAAAGAAGAAGAAGAAGAAGAAGAAGAAGAUAUUACAUUAUAAAAGAAAGGUCUUAAUACCAAGUAGAGGUAAAGAAAGAUCGUAUAUUCUUGAUAAAAAAAUCAUUGUGGUGUUAUGAUUGUAAUAGUUUGACCUUCUACUUUCAUCUUCAUUAAAUUCAUAGAGAAAAAUUGUUAUCAAGUAUUAUCUUGCUUUGACAUUUCUAAAACUUAGAGAUUGAAAGAAUAGCAAUUAGAGAUGACAAAGUUUGCUGACAUUUAAAAGAAUAGGAAAAGAAUUACAAUUUUAGUAUAUAUUUGGGUACUAGUGGCACAAAUCUAAUUUCUUUGAUUGCAUGUUUUCACUUUACUAGUUGAUCUUACAAUUAAAUCACAGCAUUCUUUAUUCUUGUUAACUUAUUUGUAGAAUUUUUUUCAAAAAAUUAUAAAAUUGUUAAGAACAUUGGUAUUACAUCAAAUUAACAAUGGAUAAUUUUUAACCCAAAAUAUGUUAUGAUACUUAUAUAUAUAUAUAUAUAUAUAUAUAUAUUAUGUCAAAUAUUGUUGUUGAAUUUUUUAAUUAAAAUUUUGACAUGUUAACAAAAAUAGAUAUCUUUUGACAAAAAGAGAAAAAAGGAAAAGAAAAGAUUAUAUCAGUAUAUAAGAAAACUUACAAACUAUAAAAUAAUUAAAACCCAUAAAAAUAAAAAUGAAAUUACAGAUAACCUCAAUCUCACCUCUGUAAAUGCCGCUUGCAAUAAGCUGUAAUCAAAACCUCUAAAGCAUAUUUAUUAUAAAAAAAAACACCUGAAAUCCAUCUUCUAUGUGUUAGGAUAUACCUUUUAGUAAAUUUGUAACAAAAUCUACUAAUACAGUGCAUGCAUUCCCAAGCUGAUGUAUUAGAAAAUGUGGAGAUGCUGCUUAGUGUAAGUUGUAGGAGUGCAGGAGGAUGCUCAAAAAUGAGUGACCUAAGGGUGAGAAUUGUUAAGGUUGAGGUGUAUCUCACAAGGCUCCACAUCAAGGACCAUGCCAUUGCCUUCUAUGUCAUCAUCAUUGACCUGGAGGAAUAGUCUGAAUAAUGGCAGCAUGUUUUCCUCCUCUGCCUCUUCAUGAUAUGCAUUUUCAUGCAUUGCCACAUACUUAUCUGCCUCUUCACAAUAUCUAUGUGCAUACACAAUCUCAUUCUCAUCUCCAAUGCCAUCUGCCUCUGCAUGACACCCAUAUGCCUCUGAGUAACACCAGUCUGCCUUGGCAUCAUACUCACAUGCCAUUGCAUAAUCCCCAUUUGCAGCUUCAUAACACUCAUCUACCACAUAAUCUAAACUUACAUUGGAUUCCAGUGACAACUUUCCUGCUACCCCUGGCACAAGAGGUGCUGGCAGUGGAACUGCAGCCAUGGUCAGUUGCAGACUGGGCUAAGAUGAAUUGAACUCUCACAGUCAGCUUUGUGACAUACACUAAUUAAUGCACCACCCACAUCUUGACUGGCCUGCCAUUCAUCACAAAACAUUAGGUUUUAAACAGUUCCUUUGUGGUGUAUUGAAAGGGGAAUACCUACUUGAACAUGGACCUAAACAUGUAGGAGAUGCUGAGAAGAAACUACUGCUAUGACGGACGCUGGCGUGACAUUAUCUGAUUAACCGAAUCCAAUCUCAAGCUGUAUUCCCCGCUUGCUUGACUAAUUCAUCGCGCUUUCUGAGACUCUCAAGGACCGGUCGUUACCUUUUCGAUUGAAACCCCGAGAAACAGCUUGUUCACGCUGACUGCUCUAGACGGUGGCGCGCGAAGUUCGGCAACCACAAACCCCGUCCUAUGAUCGACUUAAGAUACGAUUUAUCCACACAUGCAGUAGUAAAAUUCUCCAAUGUACAAGUCAGUGCUUUGGCAUUGGACAACGGAGUCAGAUCUGCGUCCACCAAGCCAGUUAUAAUAGAGCCUGUGAAGCAUUUCAUUGAGGCGAAUGUUUCGCUGAUGCUCUGAUUCCCUUCAACCCACUUGAAUAGCCCAGUUUUGCUCCCUGUGUCAUCCCGAGUUCGAACAAUCAGUUGCGCAACACAUACAUAGUGUAAAAAACAAAAAACGAUAGUACAUAGCUCAAUACCUUCGACCUCCUCGAUCUCCUUGAGCACCUCUCAUAAAGUCUUUUCGGUUUGCUAGUUAGGCUCCUCAAAACUCCCCAGUUCGACCAUGGAGCCAGCUCCCUCUAACACAGAUUUUCCAAGCUUUUUCGAAGGCUGGACAAGAAUGUCCAGCAGCUUGAGAUGAGUAGCGGCCUCGGAAAGUGGUGGAAUAACAACAAUGCCGUAGUUAUCAAACAUGAACUUUGCGAACGAUGAUUUAAUGGGCGCCAUCUGUGGUCGCUCCCAGCUAUACGCUGCAUCAAGCAGGAGGAGCGUUGGAGAAGGUGGGCGAAGCUGGCCUUGUUCCACUUCCACCUAAAGCCAAAAGCUUGCGAUGCCUAGUGGACGUGCAACGCAUUAGAUCGUCAUGGGCUAUUGGUGCAAGUAUUUUAACCAGACAAUGUAUACACAUACAUCAAUAAAUACACGGUGAUGAUAAUGAGAGCUUUAGCACUGUAUUACACAUGACAUUACAGGGUGUAGACUGAAAGAGAAACCUAUCAGAGCAAGUAAUGUACUGCUCGAAAGGUACUCCGGAUGAAUGAAACUCUAGGAUAAACUACAUUGUACUUCGUUGACAAUGUAACAUCAACAUAGGCCCUGCGGAAUGGGAUAUUGGAAUUUGAGAAUAAGGUACAUUUAUUGGGCCGGUACAUGAGAGGAUCCAGGAAUGGCUUGAACAUUAGUCAAAUUAGCAGCGACGAGUGAAGUGUCUGAGAGUUUCUGUUCCACGUGCCCAUUAGUAUCGCUGUCAUUUUCUGGAGAACAGUGGUGGUUGUCGGGGGCUGUGAAAACGAGUUAAGAGGCCCUGAUGAUCAAAAGAAGCAGACAGCAUUCUGAAACGAUAUACGGUAUGGAAGAGCGAAGUGAUAACUGAGUGCCUUUUUAUUUUUUUUAAAUUGUAGUUGUAAAGAGAUAAACACCGCGUGAUUUGUGGAAGCAAGUGCGCCUGAGAACAGCCUCAUGAUGUGGCAGAAUUCGCGGUGCAGACACAGUCGAAGUGGAUGUAUCCUUCGAGGACCUUCCCAUCCUAGAUUUUACGCUAAUUACAGCCAAGUUAUUGAUCCACUGAAUAAAUUAGCAGUUGCAAUGUGACAGCCUGGUGGAAGGAGAAAGCUGGUAUCUCAGGUGGUGCUGCAGGAGGAAGAACACACAACGAAUGAACUAAAGAACGAACGAAUAGAAGAAGGUAGGAAGGAAUGAAGAAAGAACGAAUAAACUAAGGAAAUGAGGGGAAGAAGCUUUAGAUGAGAGGAUUGCAUUUGUUUCAUUUCCAUACAUUCUUAAAAUCAUUUGCCAGUAUAGAUGUACGUAUCUAUGCCCCAUUACAUUAAAUAAUAAUUAGACACUACGUUACUUUAGAUUUGGUUUUUUAGAUUCUACAUAGAAGAAAUAGAAAAAAGAUAAAGGAAAGCUUAUGAAUUGAUAACCCUACCUCUUUUUGCUGUGCACAUGUUACUUCAAGAUUAUUUUCUUUGGGUCCACGAUGUAAAAGUACGUUGCACCUAAAACUAUGAUUAAGAAUUUUGAAAUAAUAAGCGUCAUUUCCGAGCCAUAAUAAUAGAAUUUCAUAAACACAUCGGCAACACGAGCCCAUGUGAGCAAGUACACGUGCAUCUCACUCAAAAACCUAAUGUGACACGUUAAUUAAUUCUUACGCAUGGCAUCAACCGCCCUCAAAAUUGCAAAAAUUCUGAAACCAAAGUGCGGUAGAUUACUCUGAACAUAUUGGAAGUCAUCGACGUGGAGGAGGAAAUGCAAAAGAAAAACUCAAAAGAAUAUGUGAAUGCGAUGUGAAUGUGAGUUGAAAUCCGUGGUGCCUGCGUCCACGGCUUCGGUGGCGAAAGCAGCGAUGGGCUAGGGCCUAAGAUAUUAUGCCAUGGCUGGCGUCGUGCCACCGCGCUGCGAGGCAAGUUCCGGGCGACAUAAAUGGGGUGGAUGGAGUACUGGCCAAGUGUCUGCAAAUUUCCACAAAGCCGCUGUCGUUCGUGAAUCUGUUUUGAUGCGGAAUAUUUUGGAGGUUCUUGGCGAUGCGUCGACUAGUUUCCGCAGGAUACUAGAGGGUGGAAUUGGGUUUGUGGUUACGCAGUGCACAUUUCGGUAGCAGACUUGGAUGGAAGGAAGAACCAGAACACGAGCUGAUUAUUAGUCGAGCGUAGAGCGCAGGGUUGGUCGUCGGAGUGCAUUGAUCGAUUCGUCGUUGUAGCGGGGUCUCCACCUUUGGGUUUGGUUUUUCUGUGACCUAAAUGUAAGUAGAAUAUGCCUUGGGGCUUAAAUUGAGUUAGACGAGAUUGGCAGGGGUCGCACAUCGCAAGUCAAUGGCAGGCCGAGGUGGGAAGCAAGCUCUCCAACAUUUGCAUCGUCUGCGAGUGUCAUCGAGCGUUGGAGAUGGCGCCGUUAGGGCGUCGCAUGCGCGUUACUCUGUUUCCACAGCUACUGGGGUGCCCCUUGCUGAGACAACGGAGGCAGAGACCGUAGAAUCGACGUCUGCGGGACGGAAAAAGCUUCUUGUUCUCGGAGGGAGUGGCUAUGUUGGCACUCAUGUGUGCAAGGAAGCCCUGUCGAAAGGCAUCUCCGUGGCAAGCUUGAGUAGGUCGGGAAGGCCUGGGGUUGCAGAGCCUUGGUCCCAGGAUGUGGAAUGGAUUAAAGGGGAUCUGUUCCAUCCUUCGAAUUGGCGAAAUGAGUUGAGCGAUGUGUCAGCUGUCAUAUCCUGUGUUGGCGGAUUCGGGUCCAAUCAACAAAUGCAGAAGAUUAAUGGCGUAGCUAAUGUUCAAGCCAUUCGAGCGGCAGCAGAUGCGGGUGUGGAGAGAUUUGUUUUCGUUUCAGCGCAUGAUUUUGGUCUGCCGUCUUUUGUAAUGCGAGGUUACUAUGCAGGAAAGCGAACUGCUGAAGACGAACUUCUUCAGAAAUUUCCCUACAGUGGUGUUAUCUUGCGUCCCGGAUUCAUUCAUGGCAUCCGUCAAGUGGGAACAUACAAACUGCCACUGAAUAUUAUUGGAUCCCCACUUGAAUUGGUUUUUAAAAACCUGAAAGCAGCCUCUCAGGUCCCUGUGGUCGGUAAGCUUCUCGUGCCUCCCGUGAAGGUGGUCACUGUCGCCAAAGUUGCUGUCAAAUCUGCCAUGGAUAAUUCUGUUCCUCCCGGAGUGAUGGAUGUUUGGGGCAUUAUGCGGCUGGGCGGGGAUUUAUAGCCGUGAAUCAGAUGAUUGGCCCCUCUUUGGGCUUCAUGCUUUCCAAGUUUUGCAGCUUUUCCAUCUUGAAAGGGAUUAUUGCAGCAUAGAAGUUUCACAAUAAUGUUUGCGAGGGAGAGGUGGGGCUGCCUCAGAGCCAUAGAAAUACUCUUGAUUGAGGGUUUAGGGUUUAAGCUUUAGGUACUGACAAUGCACUGCAUACGAUCACCACGGUUGAGCGUUGCCUCAAAUUGUGACUCCGCAGCAGACGAUCAACAGUGAGGUAUUAUGGCUUAACCUGGCCCAGUGGUUUUUCCUGGCAUAUGAUUGUGUGUUUUUCAAUGAAUGUGGAACGUUAUUGCUCCUUCGGAAAUAAAAUCUUCCAUAUCUUGCGAUUGGAAUCUGUUUCAGUGGUGUGUUCGUAAUCUUUCGAGCUGUAAUCCGCGAUAAAUCUACCGUCUCGCUCCGUUCUCUAGCGUUGUAAAGCUGUUCAUUGGUCUUAUUUUAGAGAUCGACCAACAUACUUUCUUCUCAAACGUUUGAAUCUCCUCCACGGCAGCCAGCUACUCCUUCCGGUUCAAGAUUGUUCCAUUCAUUAAUUUGAAAGCAUACUCUAAAUGAAACGAUUACACUGAACUUUAUAUUCCAUGUGAGCUUCCUUGUGAACAUGACAAUAGGACAAGUCGGCUUUUACCUUCUCACAAAGUGUGACGAAACGACAGUCUGGACUCUUCUGAACACCCUGAAAGUAACCAAGUAAUUUGCAGACAGUCUCAGGAGAAAGCAAAUUAAGAGUUUGAACUUCAGGAAAGGAACAGUGUUAGAAGGAAACGAGGUCACAUGCUGUAAUACCAUAGUAAAAAAAUGAAGACCACCAAUGGAGGGGACACGACACAUUCGCCGAACUGAGAAUAUCCACAAGGGAAUUUCUCGGAUUGGAUUAUGCCCAUCCAUCUGGCAGUAUGGUGCUCAAAACAGUAUAUUACAUUCACAAAUCAACAUGCAAUUGCUAAAAUUUAGAAUCAAAUUAAGGUCUUGAUGAGAAGCAUGUUCCCCUGCCAUUAAGCAAGCAAAUUAUAGUCUUAGUGUUUGCCAACUUUUGAGAGAUUUUGAUUUUCACAUAUAAAAAAAGAUUUUACCUUUGCAUAUGCUCAUUGGACAAAAAGCAUGGAUAGAAUCUUGUGUCCAAUUGUCUAUUUAGAUAAUAAUUUAUAGAAUAAUCUUUACUUGUAAAGAUUAGUUUGGAAGUAGUCUUGUUAAAAUCAUGAGCAAAGUAAGAGGUCAUCAAAUAUGCACUUUUAGAAAAAUAUUUAUAAGAAUAUUCAUUUAUGAAAGUAAAUUCUUGACCAAUUUAAUUUAGUCAAAUUAUUGUAAGUAUUAAUCACCAAAUAGAUCUUAGACUAAGUGUAAUUAGACAAGGCAUUUGACAAGUCUUGUUAUUUUCCAAGAUAAUAUGUAAAAAAUGGCUUUGAAAAAUCUAGAAAAUAUAAAAUAGGAGUUAAAGUAAAGUCUAUUUUCAAACCUUUCAAAGUUUCUUUUGCAUCUUUAUUCCAUUCUAAUUUUUCUUUUUAAUAAUAGAUUGAGUCAAUUUCAAAAAUAAUCUUAAUAAUAUCAAAUAAUAGUUUAUAAAUUCUAAAAAAUAUUAGACAUCAUGCACAAUUCUUAUAAUUUUUUAAUCUAUAAUAAUAUACACCUUUUUAAAAUCCAUUUACAAACUAUCAUUUGAAUAAUAUAUUCCAAAAUUCUACUUGAGUUUUGUAAAAGACAUAUUUUUCCAUCUUCACAUAUAAUCUUACAUCUCUAAGUUUUUGUAGUAUUAGACAAACAUAUUAUUCAUGUUUUUCUAUAUAUUAAGAAUUGAUAAGAAUAACAUCUAAAUAAUGCACAACAAAAUUAUCUAGAUAUUUACAAAAUAUAUUGUUCAUUAAAUACUAGAAAGCAAUUAGAGCAUUUGUAAGUCCUAAAGAUAUAACAUUAUAUUCAAAAUGGCUAUACCUAGUCCAAAACAUAGUCUUCUAUUUAUGUCUUUUUUUUAAUGCAUAUAAAAAUAUAGGCUCCUUAUAAAUCUAAUUUAAUACAUAUCUUAGCUUUAUUUAGUUGAUCAAAGAGUCUCAAUAUAAAAAACAAAGAGUAAUAAUUUUUGAUGGUCAGUUAAUUAAAUCCACAAUAAUCUAUAUAUAUUUUUAAGGAUCCAUUUUCUUUCUUUACAAAGAGGAUUAGCCUAUUUGUAGGAGAUUCUAAGUAUUAAAUAAAAUUAUUUCUAAGAUUUUUAUCAAUGCAUUCUUUCAAAGCAAUAAGUUUAUUAUAUAGCAAGUUGUAAAUUAGUCCAAAUAAUGGUUAAGCUCCUUCUUAAAAUUCAAUUGCACAAUUAUAAUAUUGGUUUUUUAACAAUAAAUCAUCAUUCUUCUUCUCAAAGAUAUUUUAGUAUAUUUUAUAAUAUUUUAAGAUUCUAUUGUAAUAUUUAUUUGAAUAAAGACUUGAUAUUGCAACUUAUAUAAAUGCCUUGGCUCUUAUAAAUGAAGGUCAAAAUGGUUUUAUUUUAUUUUAUUUUAUUUUAUUGAAAUUAGAUCUUAAAGUAAUAUUUUGUAAUUUCCAAUCAAUAUUGGAAUUAUAUACUUAAAACCAAGGAAGAUGAGAUACCAUUGGAUUUGAAGAAUAUUGAAUGAUGUAAAAGAAAAUAUCACAUACUUAAUCUUUUAAUGCCACUUUUAUUAGUUUAAUUUCUUCUAUGACAUCUUUGGAUGUAAGCAAUUGUCCAUCAAUAACUUCUAUUAGAGCUGAUUGGAUCUUCUUUGAAAGUAUAAAUUCUUCUUGUAUUGUAAAGUCUAUAUCCAUAAAAUAUAUUAAAGCUCUAUUGUUUAGAAGCACUCAAGUAGAAAAUUUAUGAUUUACAAAAACAUUUGUCUUUUUUAUUAAGUCAAACACUUAAAUAGAAUUAUAUCAAUUUAGAUAGGUUUUGGUCUUGAUGAAUAAGUUUCCAAAAACUUGAGAAUUGUUGUGAAGACUUGAUUUAUUCUUCUUUAAUCAAAACUUUGUUCUUGGCCUAUAUUAAAGAAUUAAUUAUUACAUGCAAUGAUUUAAACAAUAAAUUAUUCUAAUAAACUUGUUUAUUUUAUUUUUAAUAGUUAAUCUUUAAUAUUAUCUUUUAAUUCAUAUUAAAAUUCAUAAUAAGGACUUUAUUAUUUAAAUCCACAUUGUAAAGAAGGUUUUGAAAUAUGACAAUAUAGAUGGUAGUUGAUUAUGAUCCUUGUUGUAAAAACUAGGGUUUUAAUUUUACUACCCUUUUUCAAUUACUUUUUCUAAAUGUGGUUGUAAAUACUUUUACAAAUAAAUUUAGAACAUAUAGAAAUUUUAAAUUCUUUUCCAUGAAAUAUGCAAACCAAAAGAAAAUACUAUGUGAUAAAUUACCAAAGUGAACACUAUCAAAAGUGAACUUAUAAAUUUAACUUGAAUAAAUCUAUCAUGAUAUUAAAAAAGAAGUCACCUUAAAUAAAAUUAUAUUUAUUAAUUUUUAUUUAUUUAUUUAUUUAUUUUUAUAAUUUUAUUCCAUUAAACAAUAUAAUAAACUUUGCUUCCUUCAUAAUUUUAAUAGCAAGACUUUUUAGAUUCACUUGUGAGGUUGGUGUACUUACUUCACUCAAUUGUACAACUUCUUAGUAUAGACAUUUUAUCUCAUUGUUGGCUUCUCCUAUAGACGUAGGAAUAAUAUUUUCAUAGUUAACAUUGUCAAUACAUGAAAUAUUUUUAUUAAGAGUAUUGACAAGCUCCUAAAGAUUUAUAAUAGCUAAAAAUAAAAUAUCACUUCCAUCAAGUAUAGCAUUCAUAAUAUUUUUUUCUUCUAUUUUUAUAACAAAUAAUUUUAACAAAUCUAUAAAUAAAAUUAGAAGAAAGUGAUUUUUAACCUUUGAUAUCAAAUAAUUUUUUUUUUAAAGAUGGUAAGUUUAUUCACUUAAAAAAAAAUCAAUAUCAUAAAAAAAUAUUAAUUUAAAGGAAAUAAUUUAAAAUCUUUAAAAUACAACAAUACAAAGUAGGAUGAUUUAUUCACUUCAAAUACAAAUUUUUUUUAAUAUAUUAGUACUCUUACAAACAAUCAAGGAAAUUUAUCAAAAAAAAAAAAAAAAAAAAAAAAACUCUCAUACCAUUAAAAGAUAAAAAAUAGAUAAUUAAAAAAUAAAUAAAGAAUUAAAAUUAUAAUGAUUAUUUUUUAUUGCAAAAAGAUUAAGAAGCCUUAAAUCAAAAUAGAGAACAAGAAAUGUGUUGAUAACAAUGAAAAAGAUCUCACUCUUACCUCUAUAUAUACUAUCUACUAAAUAACUAUGUAGCAAUGUUAUAUAGGCCAUAUGACAUGUGUUUAACUUGUAUGGCACAUGUCUAAUUUAUAGGACAAUUUUUUAACAUGUGAGCUACAUGUCCAAUUUUUUGGCCAAGUUGUCAAUCUAUCAAUUACUUAGAAAUUGUGUAAAGUCUAUAAAACUUUUUAACAAAAAAUCAAAAAUUUAACCUAUUUAUACUUAUUUCUAACUUAUUCUAUUUAUCUAAAUAAACAUAUUAUUAAACAUAUCUAUUAUAAUACUAUUAUUAAACUUGGAUGCUAAAAGAUUUACGUACAAAUCUCUUGUAUGAUCUAUUUUUAUUAAAAUUAUACAAAAAUAAAGUCUAAUUAUUUUAAUCUAAUAUUUUAAAUUAUAGUAUGUCUUAUAUUUAAAUUUAUUAGUAAUAAGCUUUAAUAUUCCUUAAAUAUUAUGAAUUGAGAUAGUUAUUUUGUAUUAUAAAGUAUUUAUUUAAAUUUUUAGAAUCUAAAUUAAGAUAUAUUAAAAUUAAAUUCUAAAAUAAAUCUUAAAAGACCAAAAAUCAUAUGUUAAUAAUAAAAAUAAUAAAAAAUUCAUAUAUUAAUAAUAAUAAAAAAAAUUCAUAAAUUUUUUUCAUAAAAUAUUCAUUACCCUUCUCUUAACCACCAUCCUUUCUUAAAGCAAUGAAAUAGAAAAUUGUACAAAAAAAAGAGGCAUAUUGUUAGCUAGUUGUAUACUACAAAAUCACAUGGAGUAUAAUAAUAUCAAUAAAAGAUGUAGCAUUAUCAAUUCUUUAUAUAUAAUAUCUUCUUAAGAAUACUUUUUUCUCAAAUUCAAAGAUAAUUAUAUGAUUACAAUGAGUUUGGCUUUAACACAAUUGAGAUUUAUUACACAUUUUAAAUUUUAAAUUUGAAAUAAAAAAUGUGUAAUCAAUCUCAAAGUGAAAGGAACUCUUUGUCUUUCUAUAUCCUUCUAUCUUCUUUGCUCUUACCUUAAGUUGUCUUGUAGAGCAAUUGAUUCUUAUUUCCAAACACAAGCUUCUUUAUUGGAUCUGCACUAAAACAUGAUUAUUCUAGUAAAAUCAUGUGGCUUAGUAUAUUAUUAACUCUUUGCCAAUACAACAAAUAAUGAACAAAAUGUAACAAAAAUAAAAUAAAAAUAAAAUCAAAACUUGGAAGAAAAGAAAACAAACAAAACAAACAAAACAAAACGAAACAAUACAAAACAGGGACUAACAAUUGCAUAAGCAUGUUUUUUCAUAUUCCAAGCUUUAAUGACAAAGUAAAAAGAUGCAUCAUUCUGGCAUUUUUCAUCCCUUGAAAUCACAAUAGCACACACAUACAUACAUUAUAUUGGAUAUAUAUAUAUAUAUGAAAAUGAUAAAGCGACCCAAAUUUUUACUAAAACAACCCACAUGUUUAAACCAUCAUUCUACCCUUUCAACCAUGUCUUUGUUCCCAGCUGCUUCUUUGUUCCCAACCAUUGCCCAUAUUCCUAAUGUUCUUAACCUCUUGCCUCCAUUCCCGAUGUUCAUAGUCUCUUGCCUCUAUUUCCAACUUCUAUUUUUAGCAAUGGUUGGAAACAAGGAAUGGCUGAGAAUAGGGAUGGGAGCUACAAGGAUACAAUAAUGGUUAAUUUAGAGUGAAUUUGCGUUAGUAAAAAUUUGGGUUGCUUUACCAUUUCCCAGUAUAUAUAUAUAUACAUAUAUUAAUUUGUAUGUAUAAUGGGCUUGUUUUGAGAUAGAUAUAGAACAAAACAUAACAACUAUGAGAUAUUAUGAUUUAUCAUGAAAAAAUAAAAAAUCAAGAUGAAUUUUUUGGUAAAUGCAGAAGUAGGUCACUGAAGCUAUCGUACCUGGCUCCCUCAUUCUGUGUCAGAGAAAAGGGCUGAAUCAUCCACGUCACCUCAUACUGGGUAAGAAUGACGUGGACACGGUGAAGGAUCCGACGUUGCAUAGGGGUGGCUCAAGAGUGGCCUCUCCAAGCGGACACUGCUUUCGGCGUUUCUUUAGGAUGGAAGAUGUAGCGACGAAGCCGAGGCGACACCACAAUCAUCAACGCCACGCCUCCGAAGCCCAUGAGCAAUCCUACGCAUAUCCCCGGCACUGAAAGUGUCCCCCCUAUACUCCACACCGACCUCGAUUCGCACUGCUUCUCAAGCGGCAACCCGCACAAUCCUUCGUUCCCAGGCCUGAAACUCUCUUUCGUUGUGCGGGUACCAAAACCAUUUUCCUGCGGGAUUUCUCCUGAUAGAUCGUUGCCUCCGAGGUAAAACUGCAAGGUGGCAGGCAUCCUCGCUAGCAUGACGGGAACCGGACCUGUCAAACGAUUCGAGGACAAAUCCAGGGACUGCAGUUUCUUAAGGCUUCCCUCUUUAUCCGGAAUUGUUCCACUCAGGGCAUUGUUAGAGAGGUUGAGUACCCACAGGUAGUCCAUUUGUAGAAUGUCAUCAGGUAUACGCCCUGUGAGGUUGUUAGCUCCCAAGUUCAGUAUCGCAGUCCACACGAGCCCGUUACCAUUGAAAGUAUAAACCUUGCGCUGGUAAAUGAAUGAAAGAUCUACUUUGAAGGGACUCAGACUCAGUGAAACUCUGUAAUUCACCUCCGUCUUGGCAUUGGUGUCGAUUGGCUGCAAGGUUACGUUGUCAAUGAAGGCUCUCAUAUUGGUCAAGUUUCUCGAAAUCUCUCCGGAUAGUUUGUUGUUGGACAGAUCCAGCAUAGUUAUAUUCCUACUCUUCCAUAUCCAACCCGGAAUCGCACCUUCGAUCUCGUUCGACUCCAAGGUGAGCACUCUCAUCUUCUCAAGGACCGUCGGCCUCGCUGGCACGGGAAUUGAUCCCGUCAGUUUGUUCCGGCUGAGGUCGAGAAUGGUGAGGUUUUCGCAGUUGAAGAGCGCUUCAGGAAAUGUUCCGAUGAGGGCAUUGUUUGCCGCUGUCAAAACUUCGAGAAACGGAAGUUUUGUGAAGUUAAGACUCCCAAUUUGUCCAGAAAGGCGGUUCUUUGACAACAGAAUGCGAGUCAAGUUUGUGCAACUACUAAGCGUCGCCGGGAUCCCAUCCUCGAGUUGGUUGUCGUUUAGGUGCAGGUCUUUUAGCAUGGAGCACCGGCCAAGGCUUGCGGGUAUGGCUCCAGUGAGACUGUUGUUGGCUAACCACAACCUCUGUAAUGCUCGCAAGUUCCCCAACUCGGCUGGGAUGGCUCCGCUGAGCCGAUUGCUCUGUAGAAGCAAUGUGGUGAGAUUGACGCAUUGAGAGAGCGAAGCAGGGAUGUUGCCAGUAAGGUUGUUGUCAUUGAGAGCAAGCACCAGCAUUGAAUGGAUGUUGCACAAAGUAGGGAUUUUACCGCUGACGCUUGUACUGGUAACGACCAGACUGUCAAGAGUCAUGUUGCCGAAUUCAACGGGUAUGGACCCGUUGAUGCGCUCAUUGCUUUCGAUUAUAACUGAGCCUAAUCUUGUGCAGUUUGCAAGUGAGGCAGGGAUGGGCCCUUCUAAGGAAUUGUUGCUUAAGUAAAGCAGCCGAAAAUUUUGCAAACCACCUAGAUUGGUGGGUAUAACCCCAGUCAUGAAAUUGUCUUGGAAUUGCAGGCUUUCCAACUGGGGACAUUUGCUGAACGCCGGUGAGAUAGUCCCUGUCAGAUUAUUUGCCCCAAACACCACAUUUUUGAGAGCAGUGCAGUUAGUGGCAGUGAGCGCAGCAGGUAUCUCUCCAGAGAACUGGUUGUGGUCCACUUCGUAAUUCUCGAUAAAAUUCCACUGUUGCCCUGGGAAUGGCGGAAGACUUCCCCUGAACUCAUUGUAAGCGAGAUAGAUCAAACGUAUCUUGCUGCAAUUGCCAAGCAUCCCGAUUUCCCCCGAGAACCUGUUAAAGCGAAGCAUAAUUAUGCUAAGCUCUUCCAAACGCCCGAACGACUCCGGUAAGGUGCCGUUCAUAUCAUUGGCCUCAAAAUCGAGGUUGUAUAAUCGACUGCAGUUUCCAAGCGACCUUGGCAACGGCCCUUUAAGGUCGUUCGUUCUUCCCACGAGCUCUCGCAAAUUGGGGCAAUUGCCAAGGCUCUCCGGAAGAGAGCCAUUGAUCUUCUUGUUCUCUGCAAAAUUCAGUACUUCAAGGUGCUGAAGUUUCCCCAGCUCCGCAGGAAGUUCUCCGCUGAGCUGAUUCCAAGCUACGUUCAGAGUUUUCAGAUUCGUGCAGUUCCCCAGAGCUGGAGGAAUGGAGCCUGUCAAGGAGUUGUUUUUAAGCACUAGAUGCUCGAGGGCCGACAGCUUUCCAAAUACAGACGGAAGAUUACCUUGCAGGAGUGUGUCUUGAAGUGUGAGGUUUUGCAGAAAGGUAAGAUUUGCCAAAGCCGAGCUCAAAGUCCCAUUCAACACAAUUCCGGUGAUGUUCAGAGCAAGGACUCGUCUGGGAAUGUCAGCAUUGCAUGUCACCCCCGCCCACUGGCAGUAGUCGGCGUUCAUACUGCUAUUGCCCCAGCUGUUCAGCGUAUCAUUUUUGAACUCCCCAAGAGCCUCAAGUUUGAAUUGCAGCAAUACUCUUUCGUCUGCUGUACUCUCCGACGUUUCCUGCAGCAAUGAUCGGCCAUGCUUUCCUCCCUCGGUUCUUGCACUUAGAGUUGGCAGGAAAAAGAACAUGUAUGUCACAAGCAGGCGCCAACACACCAUGUGCAGUCCCAUUGGUUCCUGGAACAUUUGAGAAGCGAAUCGUCGAGUGAAGCAAUUCUACUUGGCCUAUCAAAAUUGUGCCAAGUUUCUAACCCCAACCAGCACAACCCAAGGAGCCACAACUGACACAACCCAAACAAACUAACCAGGGCUGCGAUGAUUGUCGGUUACAUACAUGCAAAGUAGAUUGAGGGUCACGAAACUAGAGCUCCAAAUUUUCUAGGUUAAUGAACUAAUCGGCGUAUCUUUUCUUCAUUCAACAGAACAAUAUAUUUAGUUUCGAAGGCCACAGCUGCUAGCCCUGGAUUUGGUUUCUAUUCUCGAGCGCACAACUCUACAGCAACACCCUCACACCCCUCACAGAACUUACACUCGACAUAACUGGAUAAUAAGGCGAAGUGCGGAGCUUUAGCACAAUAACACUGCGUGAUAGCAACAGAAAGAAAGAUCCAGUUUCAGAAUUGCAUUCACUACACCAAUAACUCAUCACCUCGCGAUGGCAUUUUUGGAAGAAUUGAACACGAGGACUUCUUUGGUUACAGGAUGUAAGGCUUGUUCAUGAUUAAUUGAGGUGCAAUUAAGAGCCCUUGUUGACGCAGCAUGCCUUUUGUCUGUCUUGUCAGAUAGUCUCAGCCCACAUAUGCCCGACCGGAGAACUGUUCUACCCCAAUAAUUUCCCAUCCACCGUCAGAUUUAAUUUCUUCUGGAUUGUAUUUCAACGAUUCCCUUCCCUUAUUGCAGAUUGGUGGAUUCCCCUGCCGGUCAGCGACAAACUUGCCAGUACCAUCAAAGUCAAAUCGAGGAACGCGUACCCCUGGAUGCUCAAGCCAAACUGUAUUGGUCCGAUUCAGCUGAAAUCAGAGGAAAUCAUGCAGAAAUCCUUUUUUAGAGCCUUCCAACUCUCCCGAUUUGGCAUGGUGUAUUGAGAAACUUCUCAGCCUCCACCUACACGACAACGCAUACUUUUACACCGUUUCUUUCAAAUGAAAGCAUGAUUUUCAGUGAAACAGAAUGUUGAAGUGUUUCGAACGGUGUUAGUGGUCAUGUGAAACAAACUCGUAUUGUGCUCACAGUUUUUUACUGAAGCGUAUGAAACUAUUAUCGCUAUUGCUGGUAGAACGGACGUGUCUACGAUGUACCGCUUGCAAUACUGCACCUCGAUAAGAUAAGGAUAGUGAUGCAGAAGUGCCACAAGUUGACUGAAAGUAAUGUUUCUUUUUUCUGAAGUCGACGCACAAUUAUCCAGCUGUAUUUUGAACAACGACUGCUUCAGGGCAUAGAUUUCUGAUGAUACCCACUUCUAAAUCCAAAAACAUUGUCCAUUCAUCCCUCCCAUUCUUGUGCCCCGACAAAAUGAGGAUAUUGUUGAUUCAGUAGGCGUGAGAUGAAAACAAAUGCUAUUGAUAGAAAGUUUAUGCCUUUGGUGGUAAUUUUGCACGAGUGUCCGAAGCCCACAAUAGCUGUAGUGGCAGAAUAUGUUGUCAGAUUUUUUGUCGAACAGCUGAAAAAGCAGACCAGCUUUUUUAAACACCUUAGCAGCUCACCGAUUUGCAGAGCAGAUCUAAUGAAGACCAGGACACAUGAAAAAUGUGACCUAGAAUACAUUCAUUCUUACAUUGUUGCCAACAUCAGCUCCUGGAUGAGGCUUAUCAUGUAAUUUAGGACUAUGCAUGUGUCAUAUAUACUCACACACAUCUUAUUUAUUUGAAAAAUCAAAUUGGUUCGUACAAUUCUAAUUUUUAUUAAGAACUGGGUGUUUUAUAUUAUUAAACCUUUUUUUUACUAGAAUGUGUUAUAAUACUUACAUGGAAGAAAGUCUAUUACAUUAUCUUUCUUGAUUCUUGAUUUUUACAGAGUUAGUUAUAACAUUGCAGAAUUUCAAAAAUGAUAUUAUAAAAAAAUAUUUGUAAACUUAUCUAAACACACUUUAGCCAUUUGUAAAUGUUUUUCAAAGAUAUUAGAUUAAAAAAAUGUCUAAAAGACUGCACUUAUCUAUCUAAAUCUUCAACAUCCAUCAGUUUAGGUUUUGUACCUAAAGUACUUUGUGAUGUUUGAUAAUUAUUUUACAAAAAUAAUAAAUAUUGAUUUUAAAAUCUAAUAUAGUAAAAAUAAACUAUUUUGAAAUGAUGAUGUAUAAAAAAUUAACAAAAUAAUUAAAAAGAAAUUGACGAGGUUAUUUCUUCUCACAAAUAUAUUCUUCGAUUUGUGGUUAAUAUAUUUCUUUGAAAAAUGUUCAAUAUUAUGUUAAGACUUUCAAAAAUAUAAACACAAAUAUUCUUACUAAACCUAAGUUUGAUAAAGUUUAAGAUAUUUUCAACAAUAUUAUAUAAAAGAUGUAUACAAUGUAUUAUUGUUUACAAUUUUUAUAAUAUAUAUUGGAAGAUUUGAGUAAAUCAAAAUUAAAAAGGAAAGUUUUAUCAUGGAUGUAUUAUACAACCAUUUGUUAAAGCAAUUUGUAAUCCCUCCUUUUUGGCACAACCUUAAAGUACUAAAAGAAUGUGCUUUGAUAAAUGAAUAUUCUUAGAAUAUGGCCAUUGGUGGCACCAAUGCUUGUGCAAUUGGGUAGCCACACUAUCUUCUUCUUCCAUCCAAAAAUUCCCUACCAAGGCCCAUUUGAGGUUGGAGGUGGAGACGCCACACCUAAUGAAGGUAUUUAGCCACCAACUUGUUAUGAAAAUGUCUUGGUGACACCAGUCCCAUUCUUACAUAGAGAUGAGUUAGUAGUUUGUGUGGAUCCACCAUAUAGGACUAAGCUUGGCAGUAAUUGACUAUCUAGUAAGAUUCUCAUCAAUUGUUAGACUUGAGGCUAUGUAGUUGCCUCUUAUAUGAUCUUUAGGAACUUAUUCUCAGUCCCACUAUUUUUUUAUUUUUGGCAUUAUAUCUUUGUUUGUGGCAUUAUAUUUUUAUUUGUGGUAUCAUUAUUUUUUAUUUUUGGCAUUAUAUUGAGCAACACAAAUACAUAAUGCCUUAAAUAAUAAAAUAAUAAUAUAUUAUAACAAGUUGAUUUGAGUAUGAUAAGUAAGAGGUUUUUAGCAGAGAAGAUGUGUUCAGAGAAGAUAGUCUAUAGGUAUUGCUUGCUCAAUCAAUCAUUACCAUCUGAUGGAAUUUGUUGUUUUUCUACAUAAAUGAGUUAAUGUUUCAAGCAUCAACUUUGGAAAGCUAUUAGAGUAGGAUAUAGAUGUUUUGUUCCUCUCUUCUCUUAGUAGUAGAUGUAGCCUCUAAUAUGAACUUCAACAUUCAUUUUUGCAAUUGUGUCCUAAUAGGAUCUUUCAUCAAAUUAUUAUCUAAAGCAUUCGAAGCAUGUAUCAAGGUGUCAUGGACACAUAUAUUUAUUCUAAUAUUUACUUAUAUAAUUAAGUAAAAAUAGAUAAAAAUAGAUUUAUUUCAUAAUAUUUUUUAGCAAAGCUUCUUAAAAGCUUCAUAGAUAUUGCUUUGACUUCAUAUAUAUAUAUUUUUAGUUGAUUGAUAUGUUAGAAACUUGAUCAACAAGUUAAUCAUAUGUUAAUAGUUUGGAGAACAAGCUAACUAUGUGGCAGACAUAUAGAAAACUUGCCUUAUAAAUUAAGAUACUUCUCUUGCAAAGUCAAUACGUUUUCGAGGUCCUAUAGGAUAUUGCCACAUAGCUACUUAUUAAGAGUAUAUGCGGAGGCAAGAAUGAGAUCUUUUUUAUUCUUGUCAAUGCCUUUUUAGUUCUUACUCUUAUUUCAAGACUUUCUAGACUUCUUGUCUUUAGCAAUAGCCAUUCUAAUAUAAUAUUAUAUCAUCUUUGAGUGAUUUUUUAGUUUUUUCGAGUAACACAAGAGUGUACUAACAUUUUAGUUAUUUGAGAUUCAAGUCUUUCACAAUUUGAUAAGAGUCCUAACUCAUUGUUCUUAUCUUGUUUUAGACGUAAGAGAAUUAUCUUCCAUUGUUGUAUUUUGAAGGUUGCAGAUUAUCCAUCUUUGAAUAAAUAAUUUGAUUUUCUAAUAUUAUUUUUUUUCUUAAAAAAAGCACAUUACUUUUCUUUGUAGAAAUUUUUAUUUGACAUUAGAAGUUGUAAAUUAUCCUCUUUUAAUUUGACUUGUAGAUUUAUUAAGUUGUUUAAAAUAAAAAAAAUUAUGGAUGCUAUUGAAAGAAGUAAGAAUAGAUUUACAACUAUUGCAGAUCUUUACUUACUUCUCAAUAUUUUUAGGAUGGAAAUUUCAUGCAUCUUACGCCUAUGGAAGAAGUUCAAAGUCUGUAUUAAGAAGUAGUCUAAUCGAAAGAAGCGAGUAGAUUGAUUUCUAAACAAUUUCAAGAACUUUUUCUUCUAUAAGUAUAAUGGGGAUAAGGAUUAAUAUGCUUGAGAAUUUUGAUGGAACAAGAUCAAAAUUUUGAAGAUUUUUGUAGAAGUCAAGCUUCAUCUAAGAUUGCAUUCUUUCCAAUACCCUAAUAAAUUUAUUCAAGUUGGAUUUAUAAGUGCAUCAAGAUUAUAAGCUAAAAUAAACAUCCACUAAUUGGAAUUUUAUUCUAACUGACAAUAAGUGAAUUAACUAUGUGAAUUUAAAAAUAAAGCUAUUAUUUAAAUUCUAAUCCAAUUAUUAGUUGUUCUUCUUAAAACACCAAGUUAUUAAUCAAAUUUCCUAACAUUAUUCACAUUCAAAAUGAUAAUUCACUCUUUAAACUUCAUGCAAAACAAUUCUUUCUUUUAUUUCUAAUAGAUACUUUAGUUUUAAUUUUUAAUUUUUAUUUUAUCUUUAUUAUUUUUAUUUAUUUCUUUACUUUUAGAUUAAUUUUAUUAUUUUUUUUAUUAUUAUUUUUUUAAAAUAUAUAUUAUUAAUUCUUAAAUAACUGAUGGUAAAAUUAAUUAGUUAAGUUAUUAUCCUUAAUCCAUAGUAAAGUUUUAAUCUUUAGUAAAAAUUAAAAGUAAAAAUAAAAGUAAAAUUAAAAAACUAAGGUAAAAGUUAAAAGUUAAAUUAAAGAUUAAGUUAAAGUUAAAGUAAUUUAAAAUUUAAAAGUUGACAUAUAGAAGUUACGAGUUACUAACAAAAAUAAAAGUAAAAAUGAGACUUAAGAGGGAAAAAAACGAAGGUACCUUAAUAAUGCCCAAGAAUUGAGGCAUCAAUCUCCUUUUCCUUCAAAAAUUGCCAAAAAUCGUGAUGAACUCCAAAUUGAAUGAUUUUUUCUUUUUUCCAAAUUUAACUUAAAGAUGCUCUUGUUACAACAAUUUUCAAUUCAAUUUAGUAUGUGAGCCACGAGAAAUGCUCCUCCAAUGUUGAGUGACUAAGAUUUCCAUGGCAGACAACCUCCCUCUACUUGGAAAUUCAUUUAAAAAUUAAUUCGUCCUUAAAUUUGAAAAAAACUAUGCCACUAGAAGCUCAGCUUAGAGAUGCACUUACUCUAUAAAAUUUCAUAGUAACUCAAUUUAGAGGCACUGAGAAAUACCUUAUCAAAGUUGGAUGAUCUAAACUACCAAGCAACCAACCCCCCUCGCAUUUACAAAUUCACCAAAAUUUUGUCCUUACUUUGAAUCAAGCAAACAAUACUUUUUUAAAAAGCUAACUUCAAAAGCUACAACUAUAAAAAAUUUCACAUUGAGAUUAUAUAAUCUGAAUGACUGAUUGAGGAAAAUCCGAGGCUCUUAAAACCCUUGGUAUAUUUGGGAGGCCGAGGGAGCUAUCUACCACAAUGAAGUAUGGUUUAAAACCUAAUGACCAUCAUUCACUAUUCAAAAUCUAUGCACACACAGUCACAAGGUUCACAAUGAAAGUUAAAAAUCAAAAUGAAAUUAAGAUUAAGGUUAACCAAAUUAACCAAAUUAAAAAUUGGCAUAGCUUUGUAUUUAACCAAAAGAAGAGAGAGAGAGGGCUUGGAAAACCAAGCCACUCCUAUACAACUAAGUGGUGGCUUUUGGAAGAGUAGCCACAUCUCCACCCUUGAUUUCUAAGAUUCCUAAUGUAGAUCUACAGCCUUCAUUCAUCCGAGAGCUAAUUUCAUGAUCAAGGCUAAUGGCUCUUGUAAGUAGAAAAAAAACACUUUUUGGUAAAUCCAACUUCACCAUUGUGUUUAAAACAUCUUUUUAUUCUAAGAUUGACUAUUCACAUGCCUCAAUCUAUGUUCAUUUGCAACUUUUAUGAGGAUUUUUUUACUUAUAAGGAUUUUGAUAAUUUUUGUAAAAUUCUUCAAAAAAUGAGAAUUUCAUUGCUCUACUUGUACUUUGAAGGAAAGGGUGCCAAACUUGUUUUUAUCACUCCACAUGGUACAUCCGAUGCCUCCAUUGCAUUUGAAAGGCUUUCAUGAAUUAGAAGAACCAUUUUGCCGCUUGGAUUUGUUGAAUUUGAAAAAAAAUCUUCAAAACCACCAUAAUUAAACCUCACUAGAUUUUCUUUUUCCUUUUUGAAACCAAGACUACUUCAUUUUUAAUUCCUUUAUUAUUAGCUAACUAAAAAAAUAUAGUCUUUAUAGUAUUUUUCUUACUAAAUUCUAUUCUAGAUUACAUCUCUGCUACUAGCAAUCUAUUUUCUAUUUUUUCCUAAAAUUCUAAUAUUAAUUCAUAAUUUUUUUGUUUUAAGCACAAUAAAAGUAUUUUUUAUACUAAAUAUCAAAGUGAGUCAAUUCAAUGGCUCACACACUUCUAUCUGGAAAUGCUCCCUAUUGAUUUAUACCUUUGAUGGAAAAAGAUUCACGACUCUUUCAUGAUUUGAAUUGAUUCUUAGAAGUAUGCUACAGCCGCAUUUGAAGAAAGUGAUCGAGAAAGGAUAGCAAAGACCAAGUUCUUAUCUUUACAACAAAGAUUGCAAUGAGUUAGCAUACAUGCUACUAAAUUUCAAAACCUUGCUUGCAAAGUGGACUAAAAUAACAAAGUCCUUAUCAAUCAAUUUUGAUAUGGAUUGAAGAAUAACAUCAAAGAUUUAUUAUUGAUAAUUCCAAAAAGAAAAUAUUUAAUAUAAUUUAUUACUUAAGCCAUUGCAUAUAAUAAUUGAUUAUUUAGAAGACAUCAAGAAUAAAUAUUUGGCUAAAGAAGAAUAAAUCAAGUAAUGAUAACCACUCCUAAGUUUUAAAAAACUUAUUCAUCAAAGCCAAAAUCAAUGCAAAUUAAUAUGGUAUGUUUUAAAUUUCUUAUUGAACAAGAAAAGACUCAUCAUUGUUAAAAAGAUUUGUGCCUAUAUUAUAGAGAAUCCAAGCACACUACUCUGCAUUAUCUAAAAAAACAAUGCUAUUAUAAAAUAAAGAGCAUGGUUUUGAAAGAGGACAAUGUGUCAAAAAAUGAGUUUGUCCAGCUAUAAUAGGGAUCUUAUCGUUGAAAUCUUACAAAACUUCUUGCAAAAGUCCUAUUUUCUCUUUAGAUCUUUCAUCUUUUUUUACAAUAGAAGUUUUUUUAGGACCAAUAAAUUAAAAAGUUUUAGCCUUGUUGGAUUCAAGAGUCUCAACCUAUUUUAUUAACGAAGACUUUGUCAAGAAAUAAGAUAUAUCUUUAGUUAAGAAAAUCAAACUUGUAUAUAUUGAAAUAAUAGAUGGUUAUUUAUUAUCUUUUAAAGAUGUUAUAUGUAAAACUAUUCCUGUAGAAGUAGCAACUAGUGGUUGUAAUAGUUUAAUAAUAUUUAAUAUAAUUAAAUCUCUUUCUAUAUCAAUUAUUUUAAAAUUAUUGUAAUUAAAAAGGUAUAAUCUUUAAAUAGACUAGAUUUCUUAUAAUUCCAUAUUUUAGUCUAAGAUUCUAUUAAGCAAGUGAAAAUCCAUAAGAUUGAUAUAUCCAAAUCAUUAUUGGUAGAUACAAAAACUUUUAUGUAUGCUACAAAAGAAAGAUCAACUUUUGUUAUAUACAAAAUACUUAUUGUUGAUGGAAAAAAGAUUUUAAAUAAUAUUCCAAGCCAAUAUUAAGAUUAUUAAGACGUCUUUGAAAAAAAAAAUAUAGAUAUUCUUUCAAAACAUUGUCUUUAUGAUUGUUCCAUCGAUCUUUAAGCAAAAGCUUAUCAACCAUUUAGAUCUAUUUAUAGCCUAUUAAAAAAAUAAGUUGGCUACAUUCAAUGAAUAUAUUAAUAAAAAAUUUUCUUAGAAUUUCAUAUGCCAUUUUAAAUCUCCAAUUAAGACUCCUAUCUUAUUUGUAAAGAAAAAAGACAGAUUUCUACAGAUGUGUAUAGACUAUUAAGGAUUCAAUAAGAUCACCAUGAAAAAUAAGUAUCUUAUACAUUUGAUUUCAAGAGUUCUUGAUUAAUUGAAUCAAGAAAAGAUCUAUACAAAAAUAGAUCUAUGAAGAAUAUAUAAUUUAGUAUGCAAUAAAAAAAUAAAAAUGAUAAAAUGCAUUCCAAAUUAGGUACAAGUAUUUUGAACAUAAUAUUAUGCCUUUUAGACUUACAAAUGUGCCAAUUUCUUUUUAAUAUCUAAUGAAUGAUGUAUUUCAUGAGUUUUUUGAAAAUUUUGUUGUCUAUUGUUUGAAUGACAUCUUAAUCAACUUUGAGUAUAUAAAAGAAUAUGAAAUUCAAAUUUGUCGUAUAUUAUAAAAACUAAAAGAUGUAAGAUUAUAUGCUAAGAUAGAAAAGUAUAUAUUUCAUACUACUCAAGUUGACUUUCAAGGAUACAUUAUUUCAAACAAUGGCCUUAUGAUGGAUUCUAAGAAAGACCAAACUAUCAUAGAUUGAAAGAUUUCAAAAACAAUUAACGAUGUGUAAUGUCUUUUGAGAUUUGUCAAUUAUUAUUAGAUCUUUAUCAAGGACUUCUAUUAAGUUGCAAUUCUUCUUACACACUAGACAUAUAAAGACAAACUUGAGUAAAACAAAGAAGCUAAAAUAUCUUUUGAAGCCUUAAAGACAUCAUUUAUUUCUCUACCAAACUUGAAUUGUGUUGUUGUGAUGCAAUACAAUUAUAUGAUAAAAAUAUAAUAAAAAAUAAAUUUCUAAUUAAUAUCUAAUUAUUUUGGUUCAAUAAUGAUUUAAAAUAUUUAAAUAUGGCUUUUAUAAAAGUAUCUUAGUUUAUUUUCUUAUCUUAAUAGUUAGUAGGUUAAAGAUUGAUUAAUAAUUUUACCUUCUAAGCUAUAGAGACUCUUUUAUUGCCUUAAAAAGACCAUAAAUUAAUAAAUCAAAUUAAAAGAGAUAAAUAAUUAACAUGGUUGAUACUAAGAUUAAAUUGAAGAUAAUUUUGGACUAAAAAAUCUGUAGGAUAGGUUAAAUUGUUACUUGAGGGUUGAUUUUUUGUGAGACAAGGUCAAAAUCAAACCUUCAGUCAUUAAAAUGAUGACCUACGGCAAAACAGAGGAGCAUUUGAAGAUCAAAGAUUAUAGUUUGAUAGCUAGCUUAAAGAUUAUUCUAAAAAAAUAAGGCUUAUUUUUGUAAGAGUUUUUUGGACUUAGUAAUUGUUGUUCAAAGUUAGGAUUUGUAUUGGUAAUUUGGAAUUUAUGCAAUAUAAUUAGGGCUAGCAUUUCCAACUAAUUUAUAAAAUUGGUGUUAUAUCUAUGGUUCAAAAUUUGACAAUGUUUGAUUUACUAGGUGUGCUAAGUAUAUAGAAUUUUGUGAUAAUCCAACAAUGUAAUUAGGAGAUAUUUGGAUUUUGAUACAAGAAGGUAUCAAAAGUUGGAAGUUUGGAGUUGGAUAGGAUUUCUAUGAUAUCUAAACAUGUGUUAGUUGGAUCAAGAUGAAAUUUAUUCUUAAAUUCAAACUUUGAAACAUCAUGAGACUUAGAAGAAAGAUUCUUGAUAUCAUAAACAAGAAAAUCAGAGGACAUACUUGAUUAAAUUUAUUUGACUAAGGUUGAAUCAAUAGUCAAUGUUGAUUUUAUUGCUCAAAGAUGAAAAUGCUUUGGCUUUAAGAAGAUUAUUCUUUGUUCAUCAAAAGAUACGUCUCUUUCUUUUGGUGAAAGAUAAGAAUGUCUAGAAAGAAUAUCUGAUAAACUUUGUUAUUUUUUAGAUCAAUAUGUGAUCUUAAAAUCAAAUCUUGAUAAUAACAUGCUCCAACGGGCUUGGCAAUACUUCAAAAUACAUGUUGACAUGAAAUACUUGAGAUUCUUGUGAUCUGUAUAUAUUGUGACUGGACCUAAAGUAUCUUUUAGAUAAUGACACUAUUCUUAAAAUGAUUCUAUAAUUGCAAAAAGUUUUUUAUCAUGAAUCUCGUAGUUAACCUUGGAUAUUGAAAAUUUCAUGGAAUAAAAAGCUACUAGAUGGAAUUUAUCAUCUAUUCCUAUUUAUGAUAAUAUUGCAUCUAUGACAAAGUUUGAUGCAUCUAUUUUUAUAAAUAAUGCCUUAGAAAAGUCGAUACAAUACAAAGUUGGUGUAGAAAUAAAUUACUUCUUUAAAGCAAAAAAUAAUACUUUGGCUUCUUUAUUCCACUCAAAUUUAUCUUUACAAGUCAAACGUAUAAGUAGAGUUGUAAUUUCAAAAAAGUUUUUGAUAAAGAUUUGGUAAUAGUUGGCAAAAUCUAAAAAUCAUUGCAUAUCUCUUACUGUUCUUGAGAUCUUUCAAUCUAUGAUAUUUUGGACUUUCUUUGGAUCCAUUAUAAGGCCUUCAUUAGAAAUGAUGCACAUCAAAAAGUCAACUUGAGUAGUGUAGAAUAUAUACUUUUCCAUCUUUGCAUAUAAUCCUCUAUCUUGUAGUUUUUGUAACACAUAGUAAACAUCAACUUCAUCUUCUUCUAUGUUCUUAGAAUAGAUUAAAAUGUCAUCUAAAUAACAUACAACAAAAUCAUUCAUUAGAUGUUGAAAAGCAAAUAGUACAUUUGUGAGACCAAAAGGCAUGACAUUAUAUUCAAAAUGUCCAUACUUAAUUCACAAAGCAGUUUUCUAUUCAUCUCCUUUUUUGAUACAAACUAGCUUAUAUAUUCUUUGUAGAUCUAUUUUUGUAUAGAUCUUUACUUGAGUUAGUUGAUCAAGAAGUCUUGAAAUUAAAUAUAAAUUAUCCUAUUCUUGAUGGUGAUCUUGUUAAGUCUUUGAUAAUCCACACACAUCCAUAGAGAUCCAACUUUUUUCAUCACAAAUAAGAUAAGAAUGCAUGCUGGAAAUUUAGAAUGGCAUAUAAAGUUCUUAGUCAAGUUUUCAUUAAUAUACUCUUUGAAUGCAACCAAUUUAUUUUGUCAUAGGCUAUAGAUUGGUCCAAAUGGUAGUUGAGUUCUUUCUUGAAGAUCAAUGGAACAAUUAUAAGGACAAUGCUCUAAAAGAAUAUUUAUAUUUUUUUUUUGAGAAACGUCUUGGAAAUCUUGAUACUGGCUAGGAAUGCCACUUGAUAUCUUUUUACCACUAGCAAUGGACAUGGCAUAUAUAGCAAAAGAUUGUCCUUCACUUACGACAUGCAUGAAAGCUCUCACACCUAAUAAUAAUGAUUUGGAUGUAUUAUACUUAUGGAUUUUUAUUUACCCAGUAGUACUUUGGACUAAAUUAUUAAAAAAAUCAAGAUUGCAAGAAAUCCAAUCUAUUUGAGGAUUAUAUCUUUUUAAUCACAAUAAUCUUAAAAUGAUUGGAUUAGUUCAUAUUAAAUAUUACUUAACUAUUAUGACCACUAGUUGCUACUUCUAUAGGAAUAUUUUCAUGUGUAAUAUCACCAAAAGAUAAUGAACGUCUAUCUAUUAUUUCUACAUGAAUAAGUUUGAUUUUCUUAAUUAAAGAUAUAUCCUGUUUUUUGAUAAAAUCUUCAUCUAUAAAACAAAUUGAGGCUCCUGAAUCUAAUAAGGCUAAGACUUUGUGAUUUUUUGGUCUUGAACAUACUUCUAUUAUAAAACAAGGUGAGGGAUCUAAGAAGAGAAUAUGAUCUUUAUUAGGUGUUGUAUAUGAUUUCAGUUGCAUGGUUCCUAUUGUAGUUGGUGCAACUUAUUUUUUAACACAUUGUCUUCUGUGGCAAUUAUGCUUCUUAUUUUGUAAUUACAUUGCUUCUUUGGAUAAUAUUGAGCAGUAUGCCUUACUUCUCUACAAUAUAAAUAUAAGCCCUUUUCAUAUUGUCAAUUCUUUUUCUGCUCUAUGACACGUUUAAAACAUAUGGUAUCAAUUUCCAUUGGAUCUGGCCUUGAUAAAUAAGUUUUUGGAAACUUAGAAGUUGUCAUCAUUAUUUGAUUUGUUCUUCUUUAGCCAAAUCUUUAUUCUUGACAUCUUUCAAAUAAUCAAUUGUUACAUGCAAUGGCUUGAACAAUAAAUUAUUUUAAAGAUUUUGCCUUUGACAUUGUGAGUAAUAAAUCUUUCAUAUUAUCUUUCAAUCCAUAUCAAAAUUGAUUGAUAAGGGCUUUGUCAUUCCAAUCUACAUCGCAAGCUAAAUUUUGGAAUUUAGUAGCAUAUAUGGUGGCUGACUAUGAUCUUUAUUGUGAAGAUAAGUAUGUAGUCUUUGCUACUCUUUUUCAAUCACUUUUUUAAAAUUUGGCCGUAAACACUUCUAAGAACAAAUUUAAAUCAUAAAGAAGUUGUAAAUUUUUUCCCAUUAAAGGUGCAAACUAAGAAAGAGCACUUCCUAAUAGAAGUGUGCUUAUCAAUCCGACUUGAAUAAAUCCAUCUAGAUAUUGGAAAAGAUGCAACCUUAGAUGGAGCUUGAUUUGUUACAAAAAUCCUUGAAAUUUUGAUCUUAUUCCAUCAAACUUCUCAAGUAGACUAAUCCUUCUUUCUAUCAUAUUUAUAGAAGCAAAACUCCUUGGAUUUGGUUGUGAGGUCAAUCUACUUGCUUCUUUCAACUGCAUAACUUUUUGUUGUAGAUUGUGAAUUUUUUCUAUAGGUGUAGAUAUACUACUUCCAUAAUUCACGUUAGAAAUAUGUGAAAUUUUUCACUCUUAGAGUGUUGACAAGCUCAUGAAGAUCUACAAUAAUUAUAAAUCUAUUCUCACUUCCAUUGAGAGUAGCAUCCGUAAUCUUUCUUUCCAUAGCCAACUCAAAUAAAUUCAAAAAAUUAAAUUAGAAGAAGAUAAUCCACAACCUCUAAUAAAAAUUUCCACAAAGAGGGAUAAUCCACUCUUUUUAAGGAAAAAAUCAAUGUUGGAAAAUCACAAAUUUUCUUUAAAGGUGAAUAGUCUAUAACCUUCAAAGUAUAAUAGUAGAAGUAGGAUAAUCCACUUACUUCUAAAAUAAGAUAAAAUAGAAUGUUAGUAUUCUUGUCAAAUUAUUAAAGACAUGAAUCUCAAAGAAAGAAAAUCCUCAACACAUUCUUGUAUCGUUGAAAAGAACUAGAAAGUCACUUAAAGAUGAUAUAGUAUUAUAUUAAAAUGGCUAUUGCCAAAAAAAAAAAGAGACUAGAAAGUCUUGAAAUAAGACUAAAGACUAGAAAGGCAUUGACAAGAAUAACGAAAGCUUCACUCUUGUCUCUAUAUAUACUCUCUAAUUAGGAGCUACGUGGCAAUAUUCUAUAGGACCUCCAACAUGUGUUGACUUUGUUAGCCACAUGUCUUAAUUUACAAGGCAAGUUAUCUAUAUAUGUACCACAUAGUUAGCUUAUUCUAUGAAUUGUUACACAAAGUUGACUUGUUCCACAAGCUACUAACAUGUGGUUAACUUGUUGACCAAGUUUUUAACCUAUAAAUACAUCUUAAGUCAAAACCACGUCUAUGAAGCUUCUAAAAAGCUUCUUUAGAAGACUUUAUGAAAUUAAUCUAUAUUUACCUACUUCUAUUUAAUCAUAUAAGUAACUAUUGACGUAAAUGUAUAUGUCCAUGACAUCAAUUGAUCUUCAAGAAGGAUCUCAAUUGCUAUUUGAACCGAUCUAUAAUUUAUCAAAAAAUGAGUUAGCUGAAUCCAAAGAAUAUAAUAAAGAAAAUUUAGCCAAGAACUUCAUAUGCUAUUCUAAAUUUCUAGUAAAAUCUUUAGUUUUAUUUUUGAAAAAAAUAGGUGGAUCAUUGUAAAUGUGUGUCAAUUAUUAAAGACUCAACAAGAUUUUAAGUCACACAAUUGAUUCAUUAUUUGUGUUAAUACAAAAAAAAAAAAACUUAUGUUUCUUUAAAUCACUAGUUUACUGAAUUGAUAUAGUAAGUUGAAGAUAAAUCGAAAAUAAAAAUAAAAUAGGAUAUUAGUUACAAAAAUACAUUUCUUGUAGAAUUAUUCUUGAAAAAGAAAUUUAAAUUACAUAUAUUUUUUUAAUUUAGCUAUUAGAGAUUUAUGAUUUUUUUAUAAUAUAUUUUUUUUAUUAGAAACUUAAUUGGACUAGAAGAUAAUGUAAAUUAAAUCCAAUUAAUUAUAAAAGAAAUAGAAAAAAUAUAAAUAAACUAUAAAUAUAGAUAAAAAUAAUAAAAAAAUGAAUAGAAGAAGAAAGGAAAAAAAGAAAAAAAUAAGAAGAAAGAAGAUAAAAAACUAAUAAGAAAAAAUAUGUAAAAAAAAUAAAACUAGAGGAAAGUAGAUAAAAGAAGAGAAAAAAUGUAAAAAGAACAAGGAUAAAGAAGAAAAAAGAUAUGAAAAAAAAAGAAAAUAAAUUUAUAUAUAUAUAUAGACAAAAAAAGAAAAAAUGAUGAAAGAACAAGAGGCUAUCCAAGAAUGGUGGCAAUCUCUUCAUCAAUAAGGAUAUGGCCGUUGAGAUCUCUCUCUCUCUUAUUUUUUUUUUUUUUUUUUUUUAUUUUCUUGGAUUUUAUAUAAUACAUUCUAGAGGCUCCAAUCUUCAUGGUGUGAUUUUCUUUAAAGAUGUGUAUUACUAAAAUUGUUCAUUCAUUCCAUCAAAAUAUUACAAUUAGUCAAAAGCAAGCAAUGUAGUACUUUAAGGCAUUAUUUUUUUUGAUUUUUUUCAUUGAGUGCAUGCCAUGAUGUGAGAAGGCAUUUGUCAACUCUUGUUGAAUCUCAAGUAGAAUUAGAUUCUUGUAAAUGAAGAAUAAGCUUGUGGUGAAAUAUUUAUAUUUUUUUGUUGUAAUCAAUAAUAUCAAUUCUUUUAUUGUUGAUGAUUGAUCUUAUGGUGAUUAAAGCUACAAUAGCAUGGUUGUUCCUUUUUCCUCUCUAAGAUGCAUAAACAAGUACCUUGAAGUGAUUACAAUUGAUAUGACUAAGAAUUGUCUUAUGAGUGUAGUAGUAGAAUUAAUUGUCUUAUUAUUGAAACUUGAGAUUGCAAGUAAUAGUCAAAGAUCGGAUUUGUCUUCCCUCUCUUUUUAUUUUUAAUUGAAUAUUUUUGAUUGCAAAAAAUCCAAAAAAGGUAAAAUUUGAAAAAUUCAUUGUUAUUUUAUUUUACUUUUGAUUCUGAUUAUGACAAUAUCACAAGUAUUUUAUCCUAAUUGCAAUGCAAUAGAACAAUUACUAAAAGAAUAUCUAAUGAUGAAAAUUUGAAUUUAUUUGUAUUGACUUUCUUAUCAUGUUUUUUGGAAAGUUUUGCAUGCUUUGUAGAUCAUGGAGUAGGCAUAGGCCUAUUUUAGAUUUUUUUUUUUUUUUUUUUUUUUUUUUUGGAGUCCACUACGGUAGAAUAGUAUGUAGUAAAGACAACAUUUAUAAAGGAGGGGGACUCAAUGGCUAUUUUUAUUUUAUUUUUUUUGAUUUUUAUUUUGGAUGGUUUUAGCAACAUGGUUAGGAUCUACUAUAAUUGAUGUGUGUAGUGAAAGUUAUCAUAUUGGGCAUAUGGAACUCAAAAGAGCAAAAAAAAUGGUCGUUUGAGGAGUUUGUUUUGCAUCUAUUUGGGCAUUUAUGUGUUAUGUGCUCAUUAAUUGGCGUAGUGGCAAAUUGUUUCUUAUUUGAUUGAGUGCUGCAAUAUCAACAUUCUUUUUUGUGAUUAGUGUGGGAAUGUGGAACAUGAUAUUAUUGGCAUGGUGCCUUAUUGAAGAUGUUGGCACAAGUACAAAAAGCUAUUCUUAUUUCUUUCAAACGAUGGUUUCAUUGAUACAAGUUGCAUUAUAUGUUUUUGAAAGGAGAAAAUAUUAUGGUGCAAAGUCAAUCACAUGUACAAAAUAUUGGUUGUAGAAGGCAUAUGGAACAACCUCAAUCUUAGAAUGGAAGUAAUUACAAGAAUCAUUCUGAGGUAAAGAUGAGAUUUUAGAUUAGAUAAAUUUAUUCAUAGAAGGAAUUCAAAUUUAGAUGAAGUUAGGUUGAAAAUCAAAGAAUUAGGUUAGGAUUGAAUUAAAUUAAUUUUCAUUAAAAACUGAAGUAAAUAUAUUUUUUUAAAAUUAGAUGAAAUUUAUUUAAAUGAAUUCUUAUAUUUGAAUGAAUUAUUAUUUAAGGAUAAAUUUUUAUUUAUGGAUGAUUUUUUUGUUAAUAGUUGAUCUUUGAUUUAUAUUGAAUGAAAAAUAAUAAUAACAUAAAAUAAAUUAAUAAUAAUAAGAAAAUUAAUAAUUAAAAAAUUAAUAAUUAAAAAAAUAAAAAUAAAAUAAAAUAAAAAUAAAAUAAAAUAAAAAAAUUAUUUUAACUAAUAUUAUAAAAGUGAAUAUUAUUGAAUAUUCUUAUUGAUUAGAAGGUUAUUCAGGAGAUUAAAUAGUUAAUUGAUAAGUCUUAAGAAUUAAUUAUAGUUAAUCAAAACUAUUAGGUAAUUUAAUUGUUGUCAAACAUAAUCGACUUUUAAGUAGUACGGAUUUAUUUUAGUCCACAAAGAUCACUAUUGUGAAUAAGUAUCUACUAUCUUUGAUAUGUAGACUUUUUAAUUAAUUAUAUUAAGCUAAGAUCUAUAUAAAAAUAGAUCUGUAAGAGACAUAUAAUCUAAUAUAUAUCAAAAAAAGAUGUGAGCUCUCAUUUAUGCUCCAAAUUUUUAUUUUUUUAUUUUUUUCUUAUUUUAUGAUAAUUGAGCAUAUAGAUUAGGAUUUAUGUAAAUAAAAUUUGGUUUUAUUAAAUUUUUAGGGUUAUAACCUUUGAUGGUAUAAAUCCUAGCAUGAUUCCUUGAGUUACGUUAAUUAAGACCAAAAUGAUAAGGAUUAGAAAAUUAAAAUAGUUAUUGCUAUAAGGAUUGAUUGUAAGCCUAUGAGUUCACCUACAAUCAUCUCAUAUGAUUUAGAGUGAAUUAGAAUUAGAAAUUUUUAAAAGAUUCACUGAAGCAUUGAAAUUUUUAUUUUUGAAGGAUUUUACAAUAAUUGCUAAAAUCUCUAGAGGUAAAAAAUUUCAUAAAAAUUAAAAAUAAACAUAGAUAGAGGCAUGUAAAUAGUCAAUCUUAGCAUAAAAAUAUAUUUUGAAGACAAUAGUAAAGUUAGAUUUACCAAAAAUUGUUUUUUUUAUCACUUACAAUAGCCAUUAGCAUUGAUAACGAAAUUAGCUUUUAGGUGAAUGACGGCCAUAGAUCUAGAUUAGGAAUCUUAAAAAUCAAAGGUGGAGAUGCAGCCACCCUUCUACAAGCCUCCACUCAAUUAUAUAAGACAGGCUUGGUUUUCCAAGCCCUCUCUCUCUCCUCUUUUGAUGAAGGGCAAAACCAUACUAAAAUUUGACCAAAAAUCCUAAUCUUAAUUUCAUUUAGAUUGUUAAAUCUCAUUGUGAACUUGUGGAUGGGUGGGCAAGGAUUUUUACUUGUGAAUGAUAAUCCAUCCACAAGUUUUAUCAAUGUUACAAAUAUUUUAAAACAUUUGUAACAAACUAAAUCUUAAAUGUUUUAAAACAUUUGUAACAAACUAAAUCUUAAAUUUUUUAAAAAAUUUGUAAUAAAUAUUUUAAAACAUGCUUCAUUGUGGUAGAUAGCUCCUUUGGCCUCCCAAGUACUCUAAUGGUUUUAAGAGCCUCAGAUUUCUCCGAUCAAUUAGUCAAUUUUUUUGUUUCAAUGUAAAAUUUCUUAUAGUUGUAGAUUUUGUUGUUAACUUUUCAACAAGAUAAGACUUGCUCAAUUUGGAGUUGAAUUGAAGUUUUGGUAAAAUUUUUAUUACAAAGGAAUCGAUUGCCUUUGUAAUUUGGAUUAAUCAAGUUUGGGAAGGCAUUUUUCAAUGCCUUAUGAUUGGAUUCAAUUAAAAUUUUAGAAGAAUUGAGCUUUGUAAGCUAAGCUUUGAAAUGUUUAAUUUUUGCUAGAUUUGAAGAAGAUUUGGAAUUUUAGCGAAUUUCUAAGUAAAGGGGGUUGAUUACCAUAAUAGUUUGGAUUAUUCAACUUCAAAAGAAUAAUUCUUACAAUUGAACUACUAGUUUGUAACAAGAUUUAAUAAAACAAGAGAAUAUUUAAGAUAACCUUGCAAAAAAAUAAGAAGCAUUUAAUUUGGAGCUAGUAACAAAUUUUGGAAAAUUUUGGAGUAGCUGGAGGUUGUUGCCUUUAAUCCCUGGAUGUUGUCAAGGUACCUUCACGUUUACCUCUUUUAUUUUAUUUUUACUUUCAUCUUCACAAUGACUAAUAAUCUCCACAUUUCAACUUUUGGCUAGUAAAUUUUAAGUUUUAAGUUUUAACCUUUAAUAUUCUCACUUUAACUUUUAACUUUUAACUUUUAAUUUUUAACUUAAAUUUUUAAAUUUAAUUUUUAACUUUAACUUUUAAAUUUAAUUUUCAACUUUAACUUUUAAAUUUAAAUUUUAACUUUUAAUUUUUACAUUUAACUUUUAAAUUUAACUUUUAACUUUUAAUUUUAAUUUAAACUUAAGUUUUUAUUCUUACUAUAAGUUAAUAGUAAUAACUUAAUUAAUUAAUUUUUUAUCAUUUUUGCAUAGUAAAUUUUAUUUAAUAUUUUAAUUUAAUAUUGAUAAUCAUUGUUUGGAAGGCAUUAAUUUUAAUUGAUCUACAAACACCUGCAUUUAAAUUAACUUAAUAAUUUCACAAUUGAGAAUUCUUCCAUUCUACUUUUUUAGGUCGUUGUAUAGUAUUAGUUCCAUAGAGUAGUGGAUUUUAGGAUUACAAAGGAUAUGAUUGUACUUUGAAGUAGGUAUGGAUAUUUUAAAUAUAAUGUUAUAUCUUUUGGAUUUAGAAAUGCACUCGCAACUUUUCAAUAUCUAAUGAAUGAUUUCUUUUGAGAGAUUUUGGAUGAUUUUAUUAUCUAUUAUCUAGAAAACAUCUUAAUCUAUUGUAAGAACACCAAAAAAGUAUGAACUUCAUGUUUGACAUGUACUACAAAAACUCAAAGAUGUAAAACUCUAUGCCAAGUUAGAAAAGUUUAUAUUUUAUACUACUUAAGUUGACUUCUUAAGAUACAUCAUUUCAAUUGAUAAACUUAUAAUGGAUCCUAAGAAAAUUCAGACUACUAUGGAUUGGAAGAUUCUAAAAAUGAUAAAAAAUAUUUUAUACUUUUUGAGAUUUUCUAAUUAUUAUUAGAUCUUCAUUAAGGACUUCUUUUAAGUUACAAUUCUACUCAUAUAUUUGAUUUGCAAAGACAAACUUUAAUAGAAUCAAGAAGUAAAAGUAAUAUUUGAAUCUUUAAAAAAAACCUUUUUUUUUUUGCACCAAUCUUGUAUCACAUCAAUUAUUUUAAUCUAUUUUAUAUAAAAAUAGAUACAUCAAAAUUUGCUUUAGAUGUCAUAUUGUUACAAAUAAAAAAAUAAUAGACUUCAUCUAAUAGCUUUUCAUUUUAAAAAAAUUUUACCAACCAAGAUCAACUAUAAAAUCUACAAUAAAGAACUUCUUGUAAUUGUGGAUUUAUUUGAAGAAUGGUGCUAUUAUUUAAAAGGCGCUCCUAAUUCAAUCACUAUAUAUAUUGAUUAUAAGAAUAUUGAGUAUUUUAGAUUAAUACAUAUUUUAAAUUAUUGCUAAGCCCACUAGAGUAUGUACUUAUUAAAAUUUAAAUUCAAGAUCAUUUAUUGAUCAAAAAAAUAACAAAUUUUGUCAAAUAUACUUUUUAAAUAAUUUUACCUUAUAUCAAAAGAAAGAGAUGUUAUUUUUGAUCAAAAAUGGAUAAUUUUCUUAAAGCCAAAGUAUCUUCAUCUUUGAGUAAUAAAAUUAAUACUAAUUAUUAAUUCAACUUUUAUUAAGGAAGUUCAAUUAAGAAUAGCUUCUAAUUUUCUUAUUUAAGAUUUAAAAAAAAUCCUUCAAAGUCUAAUGAUACUUUUAAGUUUGAAUUCAAAAAAAAAUAUACUAUAUUUUGAGAGGCACUUGUAUGUUUCAAAAAGUGAAACAUGAUUACAUGUUCUUCAAGCUCGUCAUGUCAUUUUAGCAACAAGAUAUUUUGGAUACAAUAAGACUUUGAAACUAAUAUUUAAGGAUUUUUAGUGGCCUCAAAUAUGGAAGAUUGUCAAAGAUUUUGUUCAUUUAUGUGAUAUUUUCUCAAGAUCAAAAAUUCCUCCUCAUUGACCUCAUGGACUUCUUUAGCCAUUAUCUAUUUCAAAACAAUAAUAAUCUUUUAUUUCUGUAGAUUUUAUUACAGAUUUUUUAGUUUCAACUUCUUAUGACUCUAUAUUUCUAAUAGUAAAUUUUUUUACUAAGGUAGCAAAUUUUAUACCAUGUACAAAAUCUAUCAUAAGUGAAAAAAUAGCUAAGCUUUUUCUUGAAAACAUCUAUUACUAUCAUAAAUCACUUAAAAAUAUUUUAUUGAAUAUAAAAACUUAGUUUGUAUCAAGACUUUGAAGAACACUUUUUAAGUUUUUAAAGAUAGAUAUAAAACUAUCUUUGGCUUUCCAACCUCAAAUUGAUAGACAAAAAAAGCAUAUAAAUUAAGUUUUGGAGUAGUAUAUAAGGUGUGCAAGUACAAAGCUUAUUCCUUAAUCCAAUUAUAAUAUGGCUUCAAUUAAGACGGUCUUAUAAUGGGUGGUAUGAAGUGAAAGUAGCAAGAAUAAGAAAAAAAAAAAAAAAAAAAAAUACAAAAUAAGUAGAACGAGUGCAAUCAAGCGAUUGUACACUAUAAAACUAGUCAUAGUCUGCUCAUUAAGUUUUUAUUCAAUAAAAAGUAAAAAAUAAACAUAAAAAAUAAUAUUUUUAAAAAUUUAAAUUUUUUUAUUUUUAAAAUGGUGUAAGAAACAUAUAAAUCCUAGUUAUUAUGAGUAAAUUAUGAAGGUUUGAAAAGUAACAAGUAAAUGAAUAAAAAGUUAAAUAAAUAAUUUUAUCUCAAAAAUAACUUGCUUAAGAGAUCAAGAAUUUGAACAUCACCAAGGUUCACAAGUAGUAUAUAUUAGUUAUCUAAAGAGGCCUUGAGGUCUUAGUCUUAACUUCCUACGUAUACCUAAGGUGCUAUAAUUGUCACGGACAUAUGCAUGUAAUCUAAUAAUUACUUAUAUAAAUAAGUAGAAGUAAGUAGAAGUGAAUAAAAGUAAGUUAAUUCUAUAAUAUCUUCUAUAAUAGCUUCGUAGAAGCUUCAUAGAUAUUAUUCUGACUUUAUAGGUGUCUUUAAUUGAUUUUUUGGUUUAAAAAUGUGGUCAACAAGUUGGCCAUGUGUCACACAAAUUGUUAGCUUGAAGACCAAGCUAAUUAUGUGGUCUACAUGUAAAAAACUUUGCCUUGUAAGUCAAGGCAUGUGUCCUACAAAGUCAACACAUAUUGGAGGUCCUAUAGAACAUUGUUACAUAGCCCCUAGUUAGAUAGUAUAUAUAGAGACAAGAGUGAAGCCUUCUUCACUCUUGUCAACUCCUUUCUUGUUUCUAGUCUAGUUUCAAGAGACUCAAGUUUUCUUAUCUUUUGGCUAUAAGCCAUUCUAGUUUCUUUUAAUAUAUGUACUUCCUUAUUUCUAUUUUGUCAUUCUUUCUUUGACACGGAUUUCAUUGGUUUAUGCAUCAUCUUUCAGUUCAUGUCCUUGACAGAUUGACAAGACUACACUUACAAUAUCAGAGCUUUGUCUUGUGUUGAUUAAGAGUAGAUUACCUCUUUCUUAUGAUAAGACAUUAGCAUAUUAGAAGUUGUGGAUUAUUCUCUUCUAAACUGAUAUUGUUCUUAGUAUUUUCUUUGUUCUCAAGUCCAUUUCUUCUACUUAUCUUAAGUGGUAUUAGAUAUUUUUUUGAAUAUUAUUAUGACAGAGUUUGUUAAAAUGAAGAAUGCAAUGGCACAAAUGUAAAAGUAAUUGAUGGAGUUGAUGCUUGCGAUGCAUCAACUUAGCUUACCACCAUAAGGAUCAACAAGAAUGGCAGGAAGUGAGGAUAUAGAGAUGAUUAGAGUUGCUUCAACGUCUGCACCAAAUCAUGUCCUUCCACCUAUCAUGGAUUUCAUUGGUUUAUGCAUCAUCUUUUAGUUCAUGUCCUUGACAACAACCCAUAUGGAAUUUGUACACCUCUUUUCCUUAAAUGACUAGACUAGUUACUGACCCUCCUAUUUUCUAUUAGUAAAACUUAUUUUUUUAAAUUUUUGACUUUAUCAUGGUAUUUAAAAAUACCCAAUUAGCCUAUGAAUCUAUUAUGACCUUGAAAUCUUACUCCAAUUCUUCAUAAUGGCUUUUAAAGUGAUAAAACUCAUUUUUACCAAAGUCUUGGAAAUUGCUCUAAAAAUUCCUAAAUCAAAUUCUAAAAAAAUUCUAAAAAUUCUUAUAAUGGUUCUAUAAUACUAAUAUUAAUUGAAGGCUAUAAGUUACUACCUUGAUGAUUUUUAUAAUAAUAAAAUUAAUUUAAAUCUACUAUAAAUCUUACUUUCUAUAUUACUAACUAAAAAGACAUGAGGUUCUUUGUUAUGCUUCUUCUAACAACUAACUAAUAUUUAUACUUUUUUUUAUAAAUAAUAUGUAUAAAUAAAAGGAUAAUAUAAAUAUUGACCUUAGUAAAUAUUCUUCAAUACUCAAUAUUGAGUAAAAAAAAUACUAAACCAACUAAGAUAAUUGCUUCUAAGACUUACUAAGAUUCCAUUUCUUCUCCAUUAAUACUAUUUUCUUUUACAUCUUCACCAAACAUCAAUUUCUAUGAAAAUCCAUCUUGUAUUUUAUGUAUCUUUUUUGAAACCAUAUAAAAUGGUCAAUUUUUUGUUUUAGAAGAAAGUAAAUUACUUUACUUCUAUUAAUAUUUUUUAAAUAUUUUAGAUUAUCCACCUUUAAAAAAAUUGUUGAAUUUUCUAACCUCAAUUUUUUUUUUUCUUAAAGAAAGUGGAUUAUCCUUCUUUGUAAAAAAUUUCAUUUGAUAUUAGAGGUUGUAGAUUACCUUCUUCUAAUUUGACUUGUAGAUUUUUUAAGUUGUUUAAAAUAGAAGGAAAAAUUUUGGAUGCUAAACUUGAUGGUAGUGAGAAUAGAUUUACAACUAUUGCAGAUCUUCAUAAAUUUGUCAAUACUUUUAGAGUAGAAAUAUCAUGCAUCACUAGUGCCAACCUUAGAAACACUAAUCCUAUACCUAUGGAAGAAGUUCAAAAUCUAUGUUAAGAAGUUGUGUAGUUAAAAGAAGCAAGUAGAUCAAUCUUACAACUAAAUCUAAAAAUAUUUACUAAUAUAAGUAUAAUGGAAACACAGAUCAUAUGCCCUAUAAGUUUGAUAAAACAAGAUCAAAAUUUUAAGGAUUUUAGCAACAAGUGAAGUUCUAUCUAAGAUUGUAUCCCUUCCAAUACCUUGAUGGAUUUAUUCAAGUUAGAUUUAUAGGCACACUUCUAUCUAAAAAUGUUCUUUUUUGAUUUGCAUCAAUAAUAGAAAAAAAUUCACAAUUUCUUUAUGAUUUGAAUUCAUUCUUAGAAUUAUUUAUGGCUAUAUUUGGAGAUAAUAAUCAAGAAAGAGUAGUAAAGACCAAGCUCUUAUCUUUACAAUAAGCAUCACAAUUAGUUACUAUAUAUGUUGCUGAAUUCUAAAACCUUACUUGCAACAUGGACUAAAAUGAUAAAGAAUUUAGUAAUCAAUUUUAAUAUAGAUUGAAGGAUAACAUCAAAGAUUUGUUAUUGAUAAUAUUAAAAGAAAAGUCUUUAAAAUAAUUUAUUGCUUAAGCCAUUGUAUGUAAUAAUUGAUUAUUUGAAUAGCAUCAAGAAUAAAUAUUUGGUUGGAGAGGAAUAAGCCAAGUAAUAACAAUAACUCACAAGUUUUUUGAAACUUAUAUAUCAAGGCCAAAACCAAUGCAAUUUGAUAUAAUGCAUUUCAAAUUCCUCAUUGAGCAAGAAAAGACUUGACGUCAUUAUAAGGAUUUGUACUUAUAUUUUGGAAAAGCUAUGUAUAUUAUUUAACAUUGUUUAAAGAAGCAACCUAAUUACAAAAUGAGAAGUAUGAUUACUAAAGAAGAUAAUGUGUCAAAAAAUAAGUUUUUCUAGCUAUAAUAGGAACUAUGUAAUUGGAAUCAUGUACAACAUCUAAUUAAGGUCAUAUUCUCUUCUCAAAUUCUUCACCUUGUUUUAUAAUAGAUGUGUAUUUAGGACCUCAAAAUUACAAAGUCUUUACAUUAUUAGAUUCAAAAGCCUCUGUCUAUUUUAUAAAUAAAGACUUUUUCAAAAAAUAAGAAAUAUCUUUAAUUAAGUAAAUUAAACCUAUACAUGUAGAAAUUAUAGAUGGUCGUUUAUUAUCUUUUGGAGAUAUUAGUCAUGAGACUAUUUCUUAGAUAUAACAAUUAAAGAUCAUAAUAGUAUACUAAUAUUCAAUGUGAUAAGAUCUCCUUCUAAUCUAGUUAUUUUAGGAUUUUUGAGGUUAAAAAAAUAUAAUCUUUAAAUAGAUUGGAUUUUUCUAAUCUUAAAUUUUCUUGUAGUUUAAUCCAAAAUCUCAAUAGGAAAAUAAAAAUAGAUAAGCUUAGUACAUCCAAAUCCUUAUUAGUAGGUACAAGAGCUUUCAUGCAUGUGACAAAAGAAAGAUCAUCUUUUAUUAUAUAUACCACACCUAUUUUUGAUUAUGAAUCGAUAUUAAGUAGCAUACUUAGCCAAAAUCAAGAUUUUUGGAAUGUUUUAAAAAAAAAUGUAAAUAUUCUUUUAAAGUAUCGACCUUAUAAUUGUACAAUUGAUUGACAAGAAGGAGCUCAACUACUAUUCUAACCAAUCUAUAGCUUAUUGCAAAAUAAAUUGGCUAUAUUAAAAGAAUAUAUUUAUAAGAACUUAUUUAAGAAUUUCAUAUGCCAAUUGAAAUCUCCAAUAGGAGCUUCUAUCUUACUUAUUAAGAAAAAAGAUGGAUCUUUAUAGAUAUGCAUAGACUAUCAAGGACUUAAUAAAAUUAUUAUAAAGAAUAGGUAUCCUUUACUUUUAAUUUUAGGACUUCUUGACUAACUCAAUCAAGCAAAGAUCUACAUAAAAUAAAUCUACAAGGAGCAUAUAAUCUGAUCUAUAUUAAAAAAAAGAGAUGAAUAGAAGACUACUUUUCAAACUAGGUAUGGAUAUUUUAGAUAUAAUUUCAUGUCUUAAGGACUCACAAUUAUACUAGUUACUUUUCUACAUUUCAUGAAUGAUGUUGUUUGUGAUUUUUUUGAUGAUUUUAUUAUUUAUUACUUAGACGACAUUCUAAUCUACUCUAAAAAUACAAAAAAACAUGAACUUCAUAUUUUUUAUGUGUUAAAAAAACUUAAAAAUACAUGAUUAUAUGCAAAGCUAAAAAAGUGUGUAUUCUAUGCUACUCAAGUUAAUUUCUUAAGAUACACCAUUUCUAAUAAAGUAUUAGUAAUGGAUCUUAAGAAAGUUUAGACUAUCAUUAAGAACUUUUUUCAAGUUAUAGUUCUUCUUAAAUGCCUGACAUGUAAAGACAAACUUGAGUGAAGUAAAGAAGCUAAAAUAUAUUUUGAAAUCUUGAUGAUAAUAUUUAUUUUUGUACCAAUUUUAUAUUGCAUUAAUUUUUUUUAAGGCAUUCUUUAUAGAAACAAAUACAUCAAACUUUGUUAAGAAUGUUUUUUUAUUACAAAUGAAAGCAAAUAUUAAGCUCUACCUAUUUAUUUUUCAUUCCACAAAAUUUUUAAUACUUGUGAUUAACUACAAGAUCAACAACAAAGAGCUUCUUGUAAUUGUAAAUUUAUUUAAAAAAUGGCGACAUUAUUUAGAUGGCACUUCUAAUCUAGUUAUUGUACAUACAAAUCACAAGAACCUCAAGUACUUUAUGUGAAUAUGUAUUUUGAAUUUUCGCCAAAUCCAUUGUUGUAAUACGUGAAGUCUUGCUUGAGAAUGCUCCGGGCACCUGGCUGUGGAAGGUAGAAUGGAAAUUACAAAAACAAAAUCCUAAUUCUAAUAGAAUAUUAACUAAAUUCUAAUUAGAUUAUAAUAAUGUUAAGCAAACUUUAAUCAAAUUCAAAAAAACUUCAAAAGAAUUACAAAGAAAUAAUAAGAAAUCUUAAAAAAAUAUUAGAAUGAUUACAAAUAUAUCUCAAAUACAUCUCAAUUCAAUCUUAAUUUAAUCCUAGUAGAAAUCCUAUUGGACUUCAUUCAAACUUUAGACCAAAAACAAACUAAAUCUUAAACUCUAAACAAACCCUAAUAAUAUCAUAAAUCCUAAAUCAAAUUCUAAUCAAAUUUUAAAUCCUAAAUCAAAUCCUAAUCAAAUCUUAAACCCUAAACCAAAUCCUAAAUGCUAAAUCAAAUCCUAACCAAAUCCUAAUCCUAAAUCAAAUCCUAACCAAAUCCUAAAUCAAAUCCUAACCAAAUCCUAAAUCAAAUCCUAACCAAAUCUCAAAUCCUAACCAAACUUUAAACUCUAAACCAAAUCCUAAAUCCUUAACCAAAUCCUAAUCAAAUUCUAAUCCUAAAUCAAAUCCUAAUCAAAUCCUAAAUCCUAAAUCAAAUACUAACCAAAUCCUAGUAAUUUCUACAAUAAAUUUAAACCUCAAUAACUAAUAAAUGAACUAUUGAUCUUAACUCAAAUUUUUCACAUUUCUUAAAAACUAAGUUUAAAAUAAGUACAAAAAAUUUGAAAAAGAUUGAAAUUAUCAAAUAGGCAAUAACCUCAAAAAUGUGCUCGAAUAUUGGUUGGCCUCCUUUUCCAACUUUGAUGCCAAUCUUAAAGAGCCAAUAUCACUCUUUUUCCCCAUUUGAUUAAUCUCAAACUUUUUACACACAUAGAAAAACAAGUCUACAAUCCUAACCUAUAAAUUUUACUGCAAUUUUUUUCAAAAAUCUUCCAAUCCAUUUUCUUUAUAAAUACCAAAAAUCUUUCAUUAUCUUUUAAUAUUUCUAACUUACAUAAUUCUUUCUCUUUUUUUUUUUUUUUUUUUUUUUUUUGAAUGCUAAUAAAACUUGAAUCAAAAGCACUUAUAUCUUAUAAGAAUACUUCUUUUUUUAUACUUCUAUAGUCUUACUUUAUAAUGAUACUUCUUCAAUUUUAUUUAUUUAUUUAUUUAUUUAUUUAAUACCAAUGUUUCCCUCUACUCCCCAUAUAUAAGUAGUUUGGAAAUAUCCUCUUUUAUACAUGACCAAACUAUUGGCGAGGUACAAAAUUUAAAAUAAAAAGAUUAAAUCUAAAUCUCUUCCAUAUAGCUACAUACAUCUUGUUUGUAUUUUUUUUCUUAUUUCUUUGAUUCCAAGUCCCAUUUAAGAUGUCCAUGUAAUCUUUAAAUCCAUUGCCCAUGUCUUCAUAUUUGAAGAUUUUUAGAUUUUCUAUCCUUGAAUUCCAUACUUGAUGAUGAACCUUAUCUUUAUCAAAAUCCAAUUUUGUUUCCAUUAUACAUGCAUUAUCUAUAUAACUUUGUUCUUUCUCCAAAAGAAAAGUAUAUAUAAUUAACUUAAUCUUAGUCAAUAACUUGGCAUCCUUAUCUUUUGUCCCAUAAUCUUUAUUUUCCAUAUAAUCUUGUAUAACAUCCUUCAUAUCUUCCUAAAUGCAUCCUUAUGAAAUAUCAUAACCUUUUGUUGUUUCAAAGAAUUGUAUAAUCUCAUAAUAUUGAGAAAUCUCAUGCCCUUUCAAAAUCUCAUGCUCUUAAAAAGUCUCAUAACUUUCAUGAUAAUCCUUUGUGGUUUCACAACCACAUUUAGUAUCAUAACCUUGUGUAAUCUAAUAACCUUCUCUAUUAUGAUCAUGUGAAAAUUCAUAACUUCUUUUAUCUAAUGCAUAUGUGGUCUCAUAGCCAUAUGUAAUUUGACUUUCAUCAUCAUCUCCAUGCCUAAUUCCACCACUUCGUACAUUAUAAUGUUGUCAAUUUAUAUAACUUCUAUGAUCAUAACUUUGAGUAGAUUCAUAAUCCAUCUCUUUUGAAGGCUCAAUCUUUAAUUCAUCAAUAUAUUCCAAAGCACUGGACAAAACAUCUUCACUUCCUUCAAAUAUAGAAAAUACUUUUUUAUCACCAAAAGAUUUUCCAUCCAAAUUGCCAUCACCAACUUGUACAAACUUACUCAAUAUAGAAUAGCCAUAGCUUCCAACUGCAUUGUCGUUAGUUUUCAAAUCCUUGAUUUUCAUAUUACCUUCAAAUUUUUGGAUACCUUGGCCUUCUAUAGUAAUAGUUUGAAAAGAAUCUUUAUUAUCUCCUUCACCACCCUCGAUAUAAGAUCCAAUUUCUUUCAUUUGCAAAGAAUUGGCUUCUCCAUUAAAGUCCCCCACUUGCUCUUCUAUUUUUCUUUUUUUAAGAUUAGUCCCUUGUAUUAGUAAAGAUGACAUAGAAGCCAAAGUAGAAGAUUUCUUAGGCCAUAUUGCAACUCUUUUAGCUUCUGCUUCUUCUUGCCUUGCUAAAAAAACCACUACUUUUUUCAAUUUCUUCCAAUUAUUGAUACAAUCACUUUGUGUAGACUCAUCUACAAGAAGCAUGAAAAAUUCAUCUCCCAAGGCAAUAUUAAGACCAUUUAAAAACAACUCUACCUUUAAAGCACCAAAUGAUCGUCUCUCUAAGGAUGAGAGUUGAUAAAAUCUCCUAUCAAAUUCUUCUAAGGAUUCAUAAAGAUCCAUAUGCUUGCUUGGUUGUAAUUCUAUCCAAUCCAAAUACUUUUGUUUAGUAAUCCUAUCCUCAUCUUGAUCAAUAAAUUCUUCCUUCAAAAGUUAUUGAAAUUAUGACUAUGUCUCUACACCCCUUCUAAGCAAUCUCUUCAUAUUUUUAUUAAAUCUAGGUUCAAUAGCCAAAUAUAAGCUUGAGAUCAUCUUUGCCUUAAUGAUUUGGCAUGUCUCCAUCUCACAUGUAUAAACUUGUAAAAACUUAGUGAUGUUGCAUCCUUCAAAUCUCUCAAAUUUAUUGAUGAUUCUUUGUAAUGCCCUUGUGAUAUCUUUUUUAAUCGCUUGCAUUCUUUGUUGCUCCUCUAUGAAUAUAUAGAAAGCCUUGAAAAGCUCACUAAUAUUUGAUCCAUCCAAAAUAUUUGACCUAUCCAAAGACCUUAAUGAUACAUCUUCCAUUUUAUUCUAUAACGAUCAAAAAUAUUCCUUGAAAUGCUCUAAUAAAUACCUUAUGAUACUUCAAAAUACUCCAACAUAUCUAUAAAGCCUUAUAGUACUCCAUGAUAAUCCAAAUAUUAUCAUUUUAUUUUAAGAUAGUCUCCAAAGCUCUAAGAAUUCAAAAGCUUCAAUUCACCCACCAUCCAAAGCUCUUCUUUCAACUCGUAUUUUUUUUUUUUUUUUUUUUUUUUUUUUCCAUAAUGCAAAUAAUCCAAGAUAAUCAAAUACCUUCCACCUCAAGCUUUUCAUGUCAAGUUCACCAAAUAUAUCAUAAUACAUGACGUAUUGCUUGAGAAUGCUCUGGGCACCUAGCAAAUAGACAAUAGGCUCAAAAAUGUGCUUGGAUAUUCGAUGGCCUCCUUCUUUGAUCUUGAUGCCAAUCUCCUAGAGCCAAUAUCUCUCUUUUUACCAUUCGAUUGAUCUCAAAAUUCUCAUACACAUAGAAAUAUAAGUCUAAUAUUCUCUCACAUAAAUUUCACUCCAAUCCAACUAGUAGCUUGCAAGAAAUCUUAAAAAUCCUUACUAGAUCUAAAAUUCUAUUUUCUAAGAUCUUGACCCACUUAAAUCUCAAUAACCCUCAAUUCAACAAUUAGAUCAUGCUAAGAUUCAUAACACACAUUAAGUACAACUAUGACCAUUAAUCCACAAAAUUUCAUCUCUAGAUCUAUUAUAAAACGCUUGAAAUCACUAGGAACGUCAAGCCUAUUUUAUUUUACAAAACCUAAGUCAUCCAAAAACAAUCUUGACUUUGUAAAGCUCUUACAAAGUCAUAACAACUCUAAUUUAUCCAAAAUCAAUGCUUAUAAAAAUCAUAUCCAGUUUGCUAUCAAACCUUAUUUUUCAAUUUGCAAAAGAAUCCUCGAGUUGUCAUGGAGACUCGGUUUUGUGACUCAAGGUUUGAUUUCGAAUGUGGUUCAUAACCGGCCCUCUCUAGGUAUCAAUAUUUAAUUUUUUUAAGUAAAUUUUACCAAAAUUUACUCUUAACUUCUUUCUAAAGAUGCAUAUUUCAUUUAUUUUUUCAAUCUACUUUGUUUUGCCUUAUUUAUGGUCCUACAAAGUAAGUAGAAGUCACUUUUGUAAAAAGGCAGUACUACUACUAAAAGUUUUACUACCUUCCUAUCUUUUAUCCAUAUUUUUCUACUUUAUCUUUUAACUUGGCUCUUCUAUAAUAAGAUCUAUAUUAUCAUCUUUCACUAUAUAGUCGUGUUACAAUACGACACCAUUGAAAUAUGUUUUUAUGAAGAUUUGAUUUCAACAUCACUUAUAGAUCCAAAAAACAACAAGAUUUAUCAAAUGUCCUUUCUAGAUAUUCUUAUCUUAUACCAAAAGAAUAAAAUACAGCUUUUAUUCAAUAAAGAAUGAUUUUUUUGAAGCCAAAGCAUUUUCAUCUUUAGGCAAUAUAAUCAACAUUGAUUGUUGAUUCAAUCUUUGUGAAGCAAAUUCAAUCAAAUAUAACUUUUGAUCCUUUUGUUCAUGAUAUCAAGAAUAAUUCUUCUAACUAUUAUAAUACUUUUAAUUUUAAAUUUAAGAAUAAUCUAUUCUAUUUCUAGGAAGAAUUAUAUAUUUUAGAAAGUAAAGCAUAAUUACUUAUUCUUUAAGCUCAUCAUGACUUUCUAGUAAUUAGAUAUUUUUGAUAUAGCAAGACUUUUGAGCUAAUAUCUACAGAUUUUUGGUGGCUUCAAAUGUAAAAUGUGGUUAAAGACUUUGUAUUAUCAUAUAAUAUUUAUUUAAUAUUUAAAACUCCUUAUCAUUGAUUUUAUGGACUACUUUAGCUAUUACCUAUUUUGAAAUAAUCAUGGUCUUCUAUUUUUAUGGAUUUUAUCAUAAAUCUUUCAAUUUUAAGUUUGUAUGAUUUUAUAUUCAUGAUAAUAGUUCUUUUUAUCAAGAUGGCAUAUUUUGUACCAUAUACAAAAUCUAUCAUAUAUAAAAGAACAGCUAAGAUUUUUCUUGAUAAUAUCUAUUGCUAUCUUAGAUUGUUCAAGGAUAUUAUAUCAGAUAGAGGGACUAAAUUUAUAUCAAGAUUUUAGAAAAUCCUUUUAAAAAUAUUAAAGAUAGAUAUAAAACUCUCUUUAGCUUUUUAUCUUCAAACUAAUCAGUAAAAAAAAUAGGUGAAUCAAGUUCUAAAGCAAUAUUUAAGAUAUUGUCACGGACAAAUACAUGUAAGCCAAUAAUUACUUAUAUAAAUAGAUAGAAAUAAAUAGAAGCAGAUAAAAGUAAAUUAAUUCUAUAAUAUCUUCUACACAAGCUUUUUAGAAGCUUAAUAGAUGUUGCUUAGACUUUAUAACUAUCUAUAAUUGAUUUUUUGAAUUAGAAACGUGGUCAACAAGUUGGCCAUGUACCACACAUAUUGUUAGCUUGAACACCAAACUAACUAUGUGGCCUACACAUAGAAAAACUUGUCUUGUAAGUCAAGGCAUGUGUCUUACAAAGUCAACAUAUAUUAAAGAUCCUAUAGAACAUCGCCACGUAGCUCCUAGUUAGAUAGUAUAUAUAGAGACAAGAGUGAAACGUUCUUCAUUCUUGUCAAUUCCUUUCUUGCUUCUAGCCUAGUUUCAAGAAUCUUAAGUUUUCUUGCCUUUUGGCAAUAAGCCAUUUCAAUUUCUUUUUAAUAUAUGUACUUCCUUAUUUUUAUUUUUUCACCUUUUUUUUGAUACAAAUUUCAUUGGUUUAUGUAUCAUCUUUCAGUUCAUGUCUUUGAUAAAUGGAUAAGAGUAUACCUACAAUAUGAGAGCAUUGUCUUUUUUUGAUUAAGAGUGGAUUAUUCCUUUUUCUUAAUAAGACAUAAGCAUAUUAGAAGUUAUAGAUUACCUUCUUUUAAACAAAUAUUUUUCUUAGUAAUUUCUUUGUCUUUAAGUUCUUUUCUUCUACUUAUCUCAAGUGGUAUUAGAUAUUUUUUUGACUGUUAUUAUCGUAGAUCUUGUUGAAAUGAAAAGUGCAAUGGUAUAAAUGUAAGAGAAAUUGAAGAAGUUGAUGCUUGCGAUGCAUCAACUUAGUUUACUACUACAAAGAUCAAUAAGAAUGACAGGAAAUAAGAACAUUGAAAUGAUUAGAGCUGCCUCAACAUCUACACCAAAUCAUGUCCCUCUAUUGAUGGCAUGGCAGGGCAACUCUUGGUUCUCUAAUUAUUGAAGGUUUAAGAUAUUAUCCUUCAAUUAUUGGAGAACCAAGAGUUGCCUUGCCUGAUGUCAUAAUAUCUGGCGUUUGGCUUGAGAAUGCACCGGACACCUCGCUAUGGAAGAUAAAAAAAAAUUACAAAAAUAAGUCUUACCAAUUCUAAUAGAUCCUUAAAUAAAUUACAAUUAAAGAUUAGAAAAUAUAAUCAAACAUCAAAUCAAAUUCAAUCAAAAUUUCAAAAGAAUUAUGUAAGAAACACAAAGUAUUGUUAAAGAAUCUUUAAAAAUCAUAAAGAAAUAAUAUAGAAUUAAAAAAUAUACUAUAAUAGAAAUUUUAAUAAAAUAUUAAAAUAGAAACUUUAAUUAAAUCCUAAUCAAAUUCUAACCAAAUCCUAAAUAAAUCCUAAUAAAAUCUUAACCAAAUUCUAAUCAAAUUUUAAUCAAAUCCUAAUCAAAUCCUAACCAAAUCCUAACUAAAUCCUAACUAAAUCCUAAUCAAAUCCUAAAUAAUUUUAAAUUAAUCCUAAUAAAAUUCUAAAUAAAUCUUAAUCAAAUACUAACCAAAUCCUAGUCAAAUCCUAAUCAAAUCCUAAUCAACUUUAAAUAAAUCCGAGUCAAAUUUUAAAAAAUUCCAAUUAAAUUCUAAUCAAAUCCUAAACAAACCUUAGUCAAAUCCUAAUCAAAUCCUAAAUAAAUCCUAAAUAAAUCCUAUUAAAUCUGUGAGGCCAAAUUUCACCACUUGAUUAAAUCUUUGAGGCCAAAUUUCACCACUUGAUGAAACCUAUAUCAUACAAUAAGUCUAAGAGGUGGAAUUAGAGAACUCCCAAUUAUGUAAUUUUUAGAUUAAUUUAAAUAUUUAUAUUAAAAAUUAAAUUAGUUUUAGGCCUUCCAAGCAAUUAUUACCAAUAUUAAAUUAAUAUAUUAAAUAAAAUUUACUAUGCAAAAAUAGUAAAAAUAAUUAACUAAGUUAUUACUAUUAAUUGACCAUAAAAAUAAAAACUUAAGUUUGAAUUAAAUGUUAAGUUAAAAGUUAAGUUAAAAAAGUUAAAGUUAAAAAUUAAGAUUAAAAGAUUAAGUUAAAAGUUAAAAUUUAAAGGUUAAGUUUAGAAAAAGUUAAGUUAAAAGUUAAGAUUAAAGGUUAAGUAAAAAGUUAAAAAUUAAAGUUAAAAGUUAAAGUGAGAAUAUUAAAGGUUAAAAUUGAAACUUAAAAUUUAUUAGCCAAAAAGUGAAAUUUGGAGAUUACAAGUCAUUGUGAAGAUGAUAGUAAAAAUAAAGUAAGAGAGGUGAAAGCGAAGGUACCUUGACAACACAUAAGGAUUGAAGGCAACGACCCCCUUCUACUCCAAAAUUUGCCAAAAUUUGUAAUCGGCCUCAAUUUGAAUGACUCUUAGCUUGUUGCAAGGCUAACUUGAAGACACUUUUGAUCCAAUAAUCCUCGUUGCAAUCUAAUGAUCCAGUCGUGAGAAUUUCUCCUUUGAAGUUGAGUGAUCCAAACUGCCAUGGUGACCAAUCCUCUUCACUUAGAAAUUCACUAAAAAUUCAGAUUGUCUUUAAAUUCAACAAAAAUUAUGCCUUUCAGAGCUCAGCUUAUAAAUCUUCAAGCUCCCAAAAUUUCAAAGAAAGCCAAUCAUCAAGCACUGAGAAAUGCCUUUCCAAACUCGAUUGAUUCAAACUGCAAAGGCAGUCGACUCCCUCGAACUCAAAAAUUCACCAAAAAUUCCUUCUUACUCCAAAUCAAGCGAAUCUUACCUUAUCGGAAAGCUAAAAACAAAAGCUACAAUUACUCAGAAUCUCAAAUCGAAAAAAAAGAAAAUAAGUGACUGAUUGAAGAAAAUCCAAGGCCCUUGAAACCCUUGGGAUAUUUGAAAGGCUGAGGAGAUAUCUACCUCAAUGAAACAUAUUUUAAAACUUAAUGAUCAUCCUUCACAAUGAAAAAUACAUACUUAUACAAUCAUAAGGUUCAAAAUGAGAAUUAAAAUCUAAAUAAAAUUAAGAUUAGGAUUUUGGCCAAAUUUUGGCAUAGCUCCGCCCUUCACCCAAAAGAAGAGAGAGAGAGGGCUUGGAAAACCAAGCCUCUCUUAUACAAUUGAGUGUAGGCUUGUAGAAGAGUGGCUACAUCUUCACCCUUGAUUUUUAAGAUCCCUAAUCUAAAUCUAUGGCCUUCAUUCAUACAAGAGCGAAACUUGUUACCUAGGCUGAUGGCUCUUAUAAGUGGUCAAGAAAGUAUUUUUUUGUAAAUCUAACUUCACUAUUGUAUUCAAAACCCCUUUUUAAGCUAAGAUCGACUACUCAAAUGCCUCAAUCCAUGCUUAAUUAUAAUUUUUAUGGAAAUUUUUACUUAUAAGGAUCUUGGUAAUUUUUGUGAAAUUCUUCAAAAUGAGAAUUUCAUUGCUUCUCUUGUAUUUAUCACUUUAGUCCUAAUUAACCUAAUUCAAGGAAUUAGGCUAUAAUUUAUACCAUCAAGGAUUGUAAUCCUAAAAAUUCUAUAAAACUAAAUUCUAUUUAUAUAAAUCCUAAUCUAACAUGUUUAAUUAUCAUAAAAUAAGAAAAUAACAAAAAAUUAAAUUUUAGAGUAUAAUUAAGAGCUCAAAAAAUCCUAAAUAAUCUCAAGUAAUUCCUAUAGUAAAUUUAAACCUCAGUAACUAAUGAAUAAAUAGUUGAUUUUAACUCAAAAUUUGCACACCUUUUAACGAUUAAGUUAACAAGAAGUAAAUGUUUUUUGAAGAAGUUCAAACUUAUCAAAAAUAAGAUCAAUCCUAAUAUUUUCUCAGAUAUUGUUGGCCUCCUUCUUCAAUCUAAAUAUUGAAUUUUUAGUGUCAAUAAAAUUUUUAUUAAACUGUUUGAUUCAUUUCAAAUUUUUCGUAUAUGUAGAAAAAUAAGUCUAUUAUCUACACAUAUAACUUUUUUUCUAAUCCAAUUGAUAGAUUUCAAAAAAUCUAAGAAAUCUUUACUAGACCUAAAACUCUACUUUCAAAGAUCUUGAUCCACUUCAACCUCAAUAAUCUUUGAUCCAAUCUUUUGAUCAAGCUCAAACAUAUAGCAUAUAUUGAACACAUUUAUAUCCACAAAUCUUCAAAAUUUCACUUAUAGAUCUAUUACCAAACUUACAAAAUUCUCCAAAAAUUAUUACCCACUUUAUUUCAUAAAUUUAGAGUCACCCAAAACAAAUUUUAAUGAAGCAAAGCUCUUACAAAGUCAAUACACACUCAAAUCACACCAAAUCAACAAUCAAAGUAAAUAUAUCAAGUCAAUUCCCAAAACUUAUCUCCAAUCUCUAAAAGAAUUCCAAAAUCAUUGUCGAAGCUCAGUUUUGUACCUUAGGGUCCGAUAUUGAUCUUAGUUCAUAACCGGCCCUCUCCAAGUAUCAAUAUCUAGUUUUUUUAGAUAGUUUUUGUUAAAAUUUACUCCUAAUUUUCUUCUGAAGAUAUCAUUUAUUUUUCCAAUCUACUUUGUUUUUCCUUAUUUAUGACUCAACAAAGUAAGUAGAAGUUAUUUUUUUAAAAAGGCAAUAUUACUAUUAAAAGUUUUAUUACCUUCUUAUCUUUUAUCCAUAUUUUUUUAAUUUAUCUUUUAACUUGGCUCUUCUAUAAUAAGAUCCAUAUUAUGAUCUUUUGCCACAUAGUCAUGUUACAACAUGAUACCGAAAAGUUUAAUGAUACAAGAUCCAAAUUUUGAGGUUUAUCAAUUAAAUACAAUUUGUGAUUGAACUUCAACCUCAAAGCUAUCCAACUCCAAGAUCACAAGUUAAAUUCAUUAAUACACUUCAAUCAGAUUUAUCACUAUUAUGAUUUUUAUCUUUUCUUGAACAACGAGAUUCAAUAUUGGAUAAUUUGAAGGCAUUUUAGGCAAAAUUUUGGUCCAUGUAUAGAGAACAUGAUGCAACUUGUGUUGCAACCAACAAGAUUUAUAUUUUGCGAUAAAAAAAUUAAUCUAUAACAUUAUAUGCUUCACAGUUUCAAUAACUUACAAUUGAUAUCAAGUACGAUGAUACUGCAAUUAUUAACUAAUUUUUCUAUAGAUUAUUAUAAGAAGUAAAGAAAUUGAUGCUCGAUUUACCUGACCCUCUGUCAGAGACAUAUGCAUGUAAGCUAAUAAUUACAUGUAUAAAUAGGUAGAAGUAAGUAAAAGUGGAUAAAAAUAAGUUAAUUCUAUAGUAUUUGGUAUGGAAGCUUCCUAGACGCUUCACUCUUAUCUCUAUAUAUACUAUCUAACUAGGGGCUAUGUGGCGACGUUCUAUAGGACCUCCAAUAUGUAUUGACUUUGUAGGACAUAUGCCUUGACUUAUAAGGCAAGUUUUUCUACGUGUGGGCCAUAUAGUUAGCUUGAUCUUCUAGCUAACAAUAUGUGUGGUACAUAGUCAACUUGUUCACCACGUUUUUAAUCCAAAAAGUCAAUUAAAGAUACCUAUGAAGUCAAAGCAGCAUCUAUGAUGCUUUUAGGAAGCUUCUAUAUUAAAUAUUAUAGAAUUAACUUAUUUUUAUCUACUUUUACUUACUUCCACCUAUUUGUGUAUGUAAUUACUAUCUUACAUGAGUAUGUCCAUGACAUUACCCCCCCUUCUAGGAACGAGUUCUACGAGGAGUGGUCAUCAUAUGUUGAAGAAAUCUAUAAUGUGAUGAAUUGUAUUUGCCACAUACUCUGAUCUUUGUUCUCCUUGAAGAUGAUUGAUAGGGCCUCUCAACCAUCAGUAGUGUUUCAUACCAGGGCGGGAAGACCACCUAGUUAUUUGAUCAUUGUUGAGGCCUUCAUGACUUCUUUCGAAUAGAAUAUUUGGAACAUCAUCAGGAAUUGUUCCUACCUCUAGCAAAAUCACCAAACAUUGGGAGUCUCUUCUCAAAUCGUGAUAUCAAACGCGUUGUAUCUCGCCAUCUAUUCAAGGAAGAACAUGUCAUUCUUGAAGAUCUUCAUCUCGAUUGCAUCGUCUUGAAGGUUGUAACAAUUGUAAUCUCUUGUCCAAUAAGUUAGCAAAUGAAGGCUCUUGAGUCGAAUCCGCUGGUUGUUGGUUCUCCAUCUCCUGAGUAUUACAACUAAAAAGAAGCUAUAAAUAAGGAUUAAAAAUAGAAUGUUAUCUUGCUUAGAUCUUGUUUCUUUUAUAAAGAAGAUUUUCAUCUUGAUUCUGAUGGAUAUUGUCGAUGAAAAGCCUCCAUCGCCUUUGCUGCAUUUACAAGAUUCUUUAUUGACUUCCAUGUGCAUUCACUAAUAUCAUAUCCACGCCAAUGGACAAGAUAUUCCAAUUUAUUUCGACGCCACCUUGAAUCUAAGACUUCUUCUACUUCAAACUCUUCAUUAUUGUCCACUUCUAUAAGAAGAGGUGGAGCUUGUCAUCUUCUUGGUAUGUCCACUGUCUUGUAUGGUUCAAGAAGAGACACAUGGAAUAUUGGAUGGAUUUUUAUUGACUCCGGUAGAUGUAAACGAUAUACAACUGGAUUGAUUUGUGCAGAAAUAGAAAAUGGUUUAAGCCUUUGAUAGUCCAACUUGUCAUAAGGACGAGUGGUCUUGAUAUUGUGACAAAGUAGCCAUAUCUUAUCAUCCAAGAGGAAUAGUGGUUGUUCCUUUCGAUAGACAUCCGCAUUGAUUUUUUGUUGUUCUUGAGCCUCUUUUAACUGUGCCUUCAUUGUUGCAUUUAGCUCUGAUAAAUAAAUCGCCAAAUCUUUUGCAGCAGGAUUAUCAACUUUUGAAAAGCCAAAAGUAUCAAAUCGUGGAUGAUAACCAUAAUUAACAAAGAAAGGUGUUUGUUUUGUAGAAGAAUGUACCGUGUUAUUGUAAGCAAAUUCAGCCAAUUGUAAAAGAGUUGUCCAAUCAUCUUGUUGGUAGUUAAUGGUACAUCUUAAAUAUUACUCCAAAACUUGAUAAACACGCUCCGUUUGUCAAUCAAUUUGAGGAUGGAAUGCCAAAGAUAGUUUUAUAUCCACUUUUAGAAUCUUGAAAAGAGUCCGCCAAAAUCUUGAUACAAAUUGAGUUUCCCUAUCUGAUAUAAUAUCCCUGGAUAAUCCAUGAUAGCAAUAGAUAUUGUCAAGAAAGAACUUAGCUGUUUCUUCACCUGUGAUAGGUUUUGUACAUGAUACAAAAUGUGCCAUCUUGGUAAAAUGAUCUACUAUUAUGAAUAUAGAGUCAUAUGAAUCUGAGAUUGGAAGAUCUGUGAUGAAGUCCAUAGAAACAGAAGACCAUGGUUGUUCUGGAAUGGGUAAUGUCUGAAGAAGUCCAAAAGGUCGAUGAUGAGGAGUUUUUGAUCUUGAGCAAACAUCACAUGAUUGUACAAAAUCUUUGACUCCCUUUUAUAUUUGAGGCCACCAAAAAUCUCUAGAUAUUAGCUCCAAAGUCUUAUUAUAUCCAAAAUAUCCUGUUGCUGGAAAGUCGUGAUGAGCUUGAAGAAUACAUAAACAUGCUUCUCCUUCUGGAAUAUAUAGGCGUCCUUCGAAACAGAGUAGGUUAUUUUUGAAUUCAAAUUUAGAGGGAUCAUGAGAUUUAGAAGAAUUAUUCUUGAUAUCAUGAACAAGAGGGUCUGAAGACAUACUUAACUGGACUUGCUUAAGAAAAGUUAAAUCAACAGUCAAUGUUGAUUUUAUUGCUCAAAGAUGAAAUUGCUCUGGCUUCAAGAGAAUCAUUCUUUGUUGCUCAAAAGCUGCAUUUCCUUCUUUUGGUACAAGAUAAGAACAUCUAGACAAAGCAUUAGACAAACCUUGUUGUUUUUCUGGCCGAUAAGUGAUGAUGAAUUCGAAUUUUGAUAAAGACAUGCUCCAACGAGCUUGACGAUGAUUUAAUACGUGUGCUGAUAUAAAAUACUUGAGGUUCUUGUGAUCCAUAUACAUUGUGUCGUGUUAUGGUUUGGCUACUAUAUGAAAAUAAUGUAAUUAUGUACUUAAUAUAUAAUUUAUUAAGUAACAUAGUGAGAGCCAUGUUAGUAGAUUUUAGUUGCUUGUAGAAUAUAAUUUGAUUAUUACUUUGAGAAGAGGUUGUUUAAAAAGAUUACUAUAGAAUUUAUAUAACUUUAAUUUCCUUUUGAUAGUGGCUUUUAAGAUUGGUUUUGGUUGAUAGUAACUUCUAAAUAUUUAGAGUCACCUUUAUUAGACAUUGGUGACAUUUGAAAACUUAUUUUGGUUCUUUUAUUUGGUGUUUAGAGCUUAAAUUAUGUAAAUCUUAUAAGAAAAAGGAUUGAAGAAGGAUUUUGGUAGCAAAGGGAGUAAUUAGGGCACCAAUAUAGAUGAAUGGAGAUGAAAAAUAAAAAUCUCCAUUCCUAUUGGUCAAAAAUCAAGACCAAUGGGCUUUGAGGAGGCUGCCCGAGGCCAUAUUAGGGAUUAGGGUUAGUUUCUCGAGGCCAUUCGAACUUUGAAGGCUAGGAUUAGAAAUUUUAGGUUUUUGGUUAAGGUUUUGGUGCAAGUUUUGUAUCAUUUGGGGUUUUUAUGAAGAAAUUAUAGGCGCUCAAAGUUAAGAUGUUAGUUUUGGACCUACUGUCACUCUUUUGGGCAUAACGCACGCGUACGGAUGGCAAUUGAGGAUCGGCGACUGCGACUGAAGAGAGCACUUUUGCGGCUAUACUUUUCACAUACUGCUUACUGGAUUCUAAGUUGGGGUGAAGGAGUUAUUGGAUUUUGAAGUCAGCACAUGCAAUCUAAGGGUAGUAAGUAAACCGAUUUACUAGUGUUUGUCUCUUGAGCUAUGUCUUGAGCAAUUUGACAAGGUUUUGGCUCAAAAUUUCAAGGAAUGUGUAAUUUCAUGUUAAUAAAAUUCAAGCAUAAUUUUUAUGAUAUUUGGAGUUCGGGUUUUUGAGAUGUAAGAAAAAUAGUUUUUUAGGUGCUUGUAAAUUAGGGUUUGGAGUGUCUGCUAGGGUUUCUUAGAUGCUAGAAAAUCGGGAGUGAAUUUGUGGUUGUUUUUUUUUGUAGUAAAAUUUUAAGAUAAACUAAACCUAUCUUGUAAAUUUUAAAAAAAUUGAACGGUUAGAUCAAUAAUUAUGAUUUUCUAAAUUUUUAGGCAAGAAAACCCUUUGCGAGAAAAAUAUGUUUUGAAGGGAUUUUGUUAUAUUUGGAGUUUUAUACAAAAAUAAAGGAGUUUUGGAAGCUAAGAAAAGAAUUGUAUAAAGGUUUAAAGUACACUCUCUACAGCUAGAUACCUAGUGUAUUCCCAGAUCACAAAUCAUGCCAUAUGACAAUGGUGACUAGAUUGGAAAUGCCUUCUAGAUAAUGAUCCCAUUCUUGAAAAGAAUCCACAAUUGCAAGAAGUUCUUUGUUAUGGAUCUCAUAAUUGAUUUCUGUUGUUGAGAAUUUUCUUGAAUGAAAGGCUAUUGGAUGAAGUUUGUCAUUUGUUCCCAUUUUUGAUAAAAUUGCACCCAGGGCAAAGUCUGAUGCAUCUGUUUCCAUAGAAAAUGCUUUGAAAAAAUCAACACGUUAUAAGAUUGGUGCAGAAACAAACGCUGUCUUCAAAGAUUCAAAAGCAACUUCUGCUUCUUGAUUCCAUUGGAGUUUGUCUUUACAAGUCAAACAUGUAAGUGGAGCUGCAAACUCAAGAGAAGUCCUUGAUGAAGAUCUGAUAGUAGUUGGCAAAUCCCAAAAAGCAUUGAACAUCUCUUACCAUUUUUGGAAUCUUCCAAUCUAUAAUAGUUUGAACUUUCAUCAUAAGUCCAUCAUUUGAAAUGAUGUAACUUAAGAAAUUGACUUGAGUAGUGUAGAAUACACACUUUUCUAUCUUGGAAUAGAGUCUUGCAUCUCUUAAUUUUUGUAACACACGACAAACAUGAAGUUCAUGUUCUUCUGGAUUCUUAGAAUAGAUCAAGAUGUCGUCUAGAUAACAGACCACAAAAUUAUCCAAAAACUCUUGAAAAAUAUCAUUCAUUAGAUGUUGAAAAGCAGCUUGUGCAUUUGUAAGUCUAAAAGGCAUGACGUGGUAUUCAAAAUGUCCAUAUCUAGUUUGAAACGCAGUCUUCCAUUCAUCUCCUUCUUUGAUGCAUACUAGAUUGUAUGCUCCUCGAAGAUCUAUUUUUGUAUAGAUCUUAGCUUGAUUCAGUUGAUCAAGAAGUAUAGAUAUUAAAAGUAGUGGAUACUUGUUCUUGAUGGUAAUCUUGUUGAGUCCUCGAUAAUCAACACACAUCCGCAAUGAUCCAUCUUUUUUCUUCACAAAUAGAAUUGGAGCUCCUGCCAGAGAUUUAGAAUGGUGCAUGAAAUUCUUGGCUAGAUUUUCUUCAAUAUACUCUUUAAGUUCAGUCAACUCAUUUUGUGAUAAAUUGUAGAUUGGUCCACAUGGCAGUUGUGCUCCCUCUUGAAGGUCAAUUGAGCAAUCAUAAAGAUGAUGUUCCGGGAGUGUAUUCACAUUUUUUUUUUUUAAAUACAUCUUAAAAUUCUUGAUAUUGGCUUGGAAUGCCACUUGAAGUCUUUCCACCAGUACAAACAGGUGUGGCAUAAAUAAUAUAUGGUAAUUCUUUCAUAGUAGUAUGUAAGAAAGCUUUUGCACCUAUAAAUACGGGUUUAAUUGAACUGGACUUAUGAUUCUCUACUUAAUUAACUACACUAUUAGUUAUACUUUUAGAAAAAGUAAGAGUUUGAGAAAUCCAAUCUAUCUGAGGGUUGUAUUUUUUUAACCACGAUAAACCUAAAAUGACUGGAUUAAAGGGAGAUCUAAUGAUAUUAAAUACUACAAAGCUAUUAUGACCAUUGAUUAUUACUUCUAUAGGAAGGAUUUUGUGAGUAAUAUCUCUAGAAGACAAUGGACGACCAUCUAUGACUUCUACAUGAACAAGUUUAGUUUUCUUUACUAAAGAUAUGCUAUGUCUUUUAGUAAAUUCUUCAUCUAAGAAACACACCGAGGCUCCUGAAUCUAAUAAGACAGAGGCUUAGCAAUAUUUAGGUCCUAAAAUAACAUUUAAUAUAAAACAAGGAGAGGGCUCUGAGGAGAGAAGAAGACCUUUACUAGAUAUUGUGCAAGGUUCUAGCCGCACGGUCCCUAUUGUAGCUGGAUAAAUUUGUUUUUUGAUAUAUUGAUUUCUUUCACAGCCAUACUCCUCAUUUUGUGAUUGCGUCAUUUCUUUGGACAAUGUUGAGCAAUGUGCUUUAGUUCUCCAUAAUAUAAACAUAAUCCUUCUUGACGACGACGAGUCUUUUCUUGCUCAGUAAGAUGUUUGAAAUCUACUGCAUUAAUUUGCAUAUCCGCUACUUCCGAAUGUAUAUAUUAAAGAAGUGUUGGUGUUGCCAUUGAAUUAUAGUAAUGUUGAGGUCUACUUGUACGAUUCUCAGAUUGAAAUUCAAAAAGGUGAUUGUCGCACUUCACAGCAAAGUCAAUUGCUUGAUUUAAUGUUUGAAGAUCAGGUAAGUUGAGCAUUAAUUUUUUUACCUCAUAUUGUAAUCCGUAGAAAAAUUGGCUAAUAAGUGUAGUAUCAUCCCACUUGAUAUCAGUUAAAAGUUGUCAAAAUUGUAAAGCGUAUAAUGUUACUGAUCGAUUACCUUGUCGUAAAAUAUGGAUCUUAUUGAUUGCAAUACAAAUUGCAUCAUGUUCUCCAUACAUGGAUCAAAACUCCACUAGAAAAGCCUCUAGAUUAUCCAAUAUUAGAUCUCAUCGUUCAAGAAAAGAUGAAAACUACAAUAGUGCCGAACUUGAAAGAAGCGUACCAAUGAAUCUAACUUGCGAUCCUAGAGUUGGAUAGCUUUGGGUUUGAAGUUCAAUCACAAGUUAUACUUUAUUGAUAAAUCCUUGAAAUUUAGAUUUGGUGCCAUCAAAUUUCUCGGGUAGGGCAAUUCUUGGUUCUCUAACAUUGAAAGGGCGUUCUACCAUAAGAGAAAGGACAUGGUUUGGUACAGAUAUUGAAGCAGCUCCAACCAUUUCUAUAUCUUCACUUCCUAUCAAUCUUAUUGCUCCUUGUGGUAGUAAAUUGAGUCGAUGCAUUGCAAGCAUUAACUCCUUCAAUUGCUCUUGUAUUUGUGCCAUUGCACUCUUUAUUUCAACAAGUUCUGCCAUGAUACUACUUAGAAAAGAGAAGAUGUCUAAUAUUGCUCAAGAUAAAUAGAAGAGAAGAAUUGAAAACAAAGAAAAUACUAAGGACAAUAUCAGUUCAGAAAAAGGUAAUCCGUAACUUCUAAUAUGCUUAUAUCUUAUAAAAAAAAAUGAAUAAUCCAUUCUUAAUCAAGAUUAGACAAAGCUCUGAUAUUGUAGGUGGACUCUUAUCAAUCUGUCAAGGAUAAGAAUUCGAUGAAAAAGAAAUUCAGUCAAGUAAGCCUUCACUCAAAAAAAGGUAACAAAAUAUAAAUAAACAAGUAUGUAUAUUGAAAGAGAAACUGGAAUGGCUAUUGCCAAAAGACAAGAAAACUAGAGACCCUUGAAACAAGACUGGAAGCAAGAAAGGAGUUGACAAGAGUGAAGAAGGCUUCACUCUUGUCUCUAUAUAUACUAUCUAACUAGGGGCUACAUGGCGACGUUCUAUAGGACCUCCAAUAUGUGUUGACUUUGUAGGACAUAUGCCUUGACUUACAAGGCAAGUUUUUCUACAUGUGGGCCACAUAGUUAGCUUGAUCUUCCAACUAACAACAUGUAUGGCACAUGGCCAAUUUGUUGACGACGUUUCUAAUCCAAAAAGUCAAUUAAAGACACCUAUGAAGUCAAAGCAGCAUCUAUAAAGCUUCUAGGAAGCUUUCAUAUUAAAUACUAUAGAAUUAACUUACUUUUAUCUAUUUUUACUUACUUCCACCUAUUUGUAUAUGUAAUUACUAGCUUACAUGAGUAUGUCCAUGACAUCUUGCUUCCAAUCUAGUUUCAAGGGUCUCUAGUUUUCUUGGCUUUUGGCAAUAGCCAUUCCAGUUUCUUUCUUAAUAUACAUAUCAAGUUAUUUCUAUUUUGUUAUCUUUCUAUGAAAGAAGUUUCACUUGUUUAUUUGUCAUUAUCAUGUUCUUGCCCUUGACAAAUUGAUAAGAGUAUACUUAGAAUAUCAGAGCUUUAUCUAAUCUUGAUUAAGAGUGGAUUACCCCUUUUUCUUGAUAAGAUAUAAGCAUAUUAGAAGUUACGGAGUACCCUCUUCUAAACUGAUAUUGUCCUUAGUAUUUUUUUUGUUCUCGAGUCCUCUCUUCUAUUUGUCUUGAGGAAUAUUACACAUCUUCUCUUUUCUAAGUGUUAUUAUGACAAAACUUCCUGAAAUGAAGAGUGCAAUGGUACAAAUGCAAGAGCAUUUGAAGAAGUUAAUGCUUGCUAUGCAUCAAAUCAAUUUACCACCACAAAGAGCAACAAGAUUAGCAAGAAGUGAAGAUAUAGAAAUGAUUGGAGCUGCUUCAACAUUUGCACCAAAUCAUGUCCCUUUUCCUAUAGUGGAACGUCUUUCUAGUGUAAGAGAACUUAGAAUUGUCCUACCCGAGAAGUUUGAUGGCACCAAAUCUAAGUUUCGAGGAUUUAUCAAUCAAGUACAAAUUGUGAUUGAACUUCAAAUCCAAAGCUAUCCAACUCUAGGAUCGCAAGUUAGAUUCGUUUGUAUGCUUCUUUCAAGUUCAGUACUAUCAUGGUUUUCAUCUUUUCUUGAACGACAAGAUUCAAUAUUGAAUAAUCUAGAGGCUUUUUUGGCGGAGUUUGGAUCCAUAUAUGGAGAACAUGAUGCAAUUUGUGUUACAACCAAUAAGAUCCAUAUUUUAUAACAAAGUAAUCGAUCAGUAAUGUUGUAUGUUUUAGAAUUUUGAUAUUAAGUGAGAUGAUGCUGCACUUAUUAGCCAAUUUUUCUAUCGAUUACAAUAUGAGGUAAAAAAAUUAAUGCUCAACUUAUCCGAUCCUCAAACAUUGAGUCAAGUAAUUGACUUUGCUGUGAAGUGUAACAAUCAUCUUUUUGAAUUUCAAUCUGAGAAUCAUACAAGUAGACCGCAACGUUACUAUAAUUCAAUGGCAACACCAACACCUCUUCAAUACAUACAUUUGGAAGUAGAGAAUAUGUAAAUUGAUGCAGUAUAUUUCAAACCUCUUAAUGAGCAAGAAAAGACUUAUCGUUGUCAAGAAAGAUUGUGCUUAUAUUGUGGAGAACCUAAAUACAAUGCUCAAUAUUAUCCAAAGAAGCGAUGCAAUAUAAAAUGAGGAGUGCGACGAUCAAAGAAGAUAGCAUGUCAAAAAACAAAUUUGUUUAGCUACAAUAGCGACAGUGCGGCUCGAAUCUUAUACAAACGCCUAGUGAAGGUCCUAUCUUCUCUUCAAAACCCUCUCCAUGUUUUACAAUAAAUGUUAUUCUAGGACCUAAAUAUCUCAAAGCCUUUAUCUUGCUAGAUUCAGGAGCCUCAGCAUGUUUCUUAGAUGAAAAAUUUGCUAAAAGACAUAGCACACUUUUAGUAAAGAAAACUAAACCUAUUCAUGUAGAAGUUAUAGAUGGUCGUCCAUUAUCUUCAGGAGAUGUUAUUCGUGAAACUCUUCCUAUAGAAAUAGCAACUAAUGGUCAUAGUAGUUUUAUAAUAUUUAAUAUCAUUAGAUCUCCUUCUAAUCCAAUCAUUUUAGGUUUAUCAUGGCUAGAAAAAUAUAACCCUAAAAUAGAUUGGACUUCUCAUAGUCUUGACUUUUCUAAAAUUAUAACUAAGAGUGUAGUUAAUCAAGUAAAAAGUCAUAAGUCUAGUAUAAUUAAACCUAUAUUUGUAGGUAUAAGUGCUUUCUUGCAUGCUGUAAAAGAAGGAUCACCUUGCGUCAUUUAUGCCACACUUAUUUCUAUUGGUGGAAAGACUUCAAGUGGCAUUCCAAGCCAAUAUCAAGAUUUUAAAGAUGUAUUUGAGAAAAAGAAUGCAGAUACUCUUCGAGAACAUUAUUCCUAUGACUACUCAAUUGACCUUCAAGAAGGAGUACAACCGCCAUUUGGAUCAAUCUACAAUUUAUCUCAAAAUGAAUUGCUUGAACUCAAAGAGUAUAUUGAAGAGAAUUUGGCUAAGAACUUCAUAUGCCAUUUCAAAUCUCUAGUAAGAGCUCCAAUUAUAUUUGUGAAGAAAAAAAAUGGAUCAUUGCGGAUAAGUGUUGAUUAUCAUGGACUCAACAAAAUCACUAUCAAAAACAAGUACCCACUACCUUUGAUAUCUAAACUUCUUGAUCAGUUGAAUCAAGCUAAGAUCUAUACAAAAAUAGAUCUACGUGGAGCACAGAAUUUGGUAUGCAUCAAAGAAAGAGAUGAAUAGAAGAUUGCGUUUCGAAGAAGGCAUGGAUAUUUUGAAUACAACGUCAUGCCUUUUAGACUUACAAAUGCACUAGCAGCAUUCGAACAUCUAAUGAACGAUGUAUUUUGGGAGUUUUUAGAUGAUUUUGUUAUCUAUUACCUAGAUGACAUUUUAAUCUAUUUUAAGAAUUCAGAAGAAUAUGAACUUCAUGUUUGCCAAGUAUUACAAAAAUUAUUAGAUAUAAAACUCUAUGCCAAGAUAGAAAAGUAUAUAUUUCACACUACUCGAGUCAACUUCUUAGCAUAUAUCAUUUCAAAUGAUGGACUUAUGAUGGAUCUUAAGAAAGUUCAAACUAUUAUGGAUUGUAAGAUCUCAAAAACGGUAAGAGAUGUCUAGUGCUUUUUGGGAUUUGCCAACUAAUAUCAAAUCUUCAUCAAAGACUUCUCUCUAGUUGUAGCUCCACUUACACGUUUGACUUGCAAAGACAAACUUCAAUGGAAUCAAGAAGCAGAAGUAGCAUUUGAAGCUUUGAAGAUAGCCUUUGUUUCUGUACCAAUCUUGUAUCGCAUCAAUUUUGCUAAGCCAUUUUUUAUGGAAAUAGAUGUAUUAGACUUUGCUUUAGAUGCCAUAUUGUCAUAAAUGGGAACAGAUGAUAAACUUCAUCCAAUAGCUUUUCAUUCUAGAAAAUUUUCAGCAAUCGAGAUCAACUAUGAGAUCCACAAAAAAGAACUUCUUGUGAUCGUGGAUUUGUUUCAAGAAUGGCACUAUUAUCUAGAAGGUGCUUCUAGCCUAGUCACAGUAUAUACGGAUCACAAGAACCUUGAAUAUUUUAUGUCAAUACGUAUUUUGACUUGUCGCAAAGCCCAUUGGAGUAUGUCUUUGUCAAGAUUCGAAUUCAAGAUUACUUAUCGACCAAGAAAACAAUAAGGUUUGUCAAAUGCACUUUCUAGACGAUCUUAUCUUUCAUCAAAGGAAGGAGAUGUUACUUUCGAUCAACAAAGAAUAAUUCUCUUGAAGCCAAAGCAUUUUCAUCUUCGAGCAAUGAAAUCAACACUAACUGUUGAUUCAACUUUCAUUAAGCAAGUUCAGUGAAGUAUGUUAUCUGCUCCUCUUAUUUGUGAUAUAAAGAAAAAUCCUUCAAAGUCUCAUAAUACUUCCAAGUUUAAAUUCAAGAAGAAUCUACUAUAUUUUGAGGGAUGCCUAUAUGUUCCAGAAGGUGAAGUUUGAUUACGUGUUCUUCAAGCUCAUCAUGACUUUUCAGCCAUAGGAUAUUUUGGGUACAAUAAAACUUUGGAACUAAUAUCCAAGGACUUUUGGUGGCCACAAAUGUGGAAAGAAAUCAAAGAUUUUGUACAAUCUUAUGAUGUUUGUUCAAGAUCAAAAAUUCCUCAUCAUCAACCUUACGGACUUAUUCAGCAAUUACCCAUUCCAAAACAACCAUAGUCUUCUAUUUCUAUGGAUUUCAUCAUGAAUCUUCUAAUCUAAGGUUCUUAUGACUCUAUAUUCAUGAUAGUAGGUCGUUUUACCAAGAUAGCAUAUUUUGUACCAUAUACAAAAUCUAUCACAUGUAAAGAAACAGCUAAGUUCUUUCUUGAUAAUAUCUAUUCCAAUCAUAGAUUACCCAAAGAUAUUAUAUCAGAUAGGGGAACUCAAUUUGUAUCAAGAUUUUGAUAGAAUCUUUUUAAGAUUCUAAAAGUGGAUAUAAAACUAUCUUCGAUAUUCCAUCCUCAAAUCGAUGGACAAAUGGAGCAUGUUAAUCAAGUUUUGGAGUAGUAUUUAAGAUGUUCCAUUAACUACCAACAAGAUGAUUCGACAACUCUUUUGCCAUUGGCAGAGUUUGCUUACAAUAACAUGGUACAUUCGUCUACAAAAUAAAUAUCUUUCUUUGCUAAUUAUGAUUAUCAUCUAUGACUUGAUACUUUUGACUUUUCAAAAGUUGAUAAUCCUGUUGAGAAAGAUUUGGCAAUUCAUAUGUCAGAGCUACAUACAACAAUGAAGGCGUAGUAAAAAGAGGCUCAAGAACAAUAAAAGGUCAAUGCAGAUGUCUUUCAAAAUGAACAACCACCAUUUCACAUGGGUGAUAAGGUAUGGUUACUUUGUCACAAUAUCAAGACCACUCGUCUUUGUGACAAGUUGGACUAUCAAAGUAUGGAUUUAUUUUCUAUUUUUGUACAAAUCAAUCUAGUUGCAUGUCGUUUACAUCUACCAAAGUCAAUGAAAAUCCAUCUAGUAUUCCAUGAGUUUUUUCUUCAACCAUACAAGACAGUGGACAUACUAAGAAGAAGACAAGCUCCACCUCUUCCUAUAGUAGUGGACAAAAAUAAAGAGUUUGAAAUAGAAAAAGUCUUAGAUUCAAGGCAGUGCCGAAAUAAAUUGGAAUAUCUUAUUCAUUGGCACAGUGUCAUAGUACGUGCUUUUCUGCUCGAGAACGCACCGAGCGUCUGGCUGUAGAAGGUAGUAUAGAGAUUCGCUAUUAUUCAAGCAGUCUAUCAGUUUUUGACUAUUAGAAUAUAAACGAUUGCAAGAAUAUACCGUAAAUCUAUACGGAUGUCCUUAGACUGCUCGUCGAAAUCCUUUUUGUCCUAGUCGGUAGAUCUCUAGAUGUUACAGAGAACCUCGAACAACCCAAUCUGCUAAUCUUCGAUACAACUUUAUACUCACGAUCUUAUAUCCACUAACUGUGUUCUUAGAUUAAUCCAAAACUUUUCAUUCACUCUGCAUACUCAAUCCUAUAGACACCCUUUUAAUUCUUCAAUCACAGAUGUAACUUCGAUUUCACAAAAUAGUCAAGAAUAAUCACACCUACUUUAUUAAAACCCUGAUUCACCAGUACAACACAUCGACCUUUCAACAUUGAACGCCAGAAGUCCCUUUUCUGACCUCUAUCCAAAAACCUUGUAUCCUCCCUUUUUCUUAACCUCCCUAAUUCCCGAAUCUCUGAAUCCUCUCCUCCACCCUAACCAUUUCCGAAUGUUUUUUUUUUUUCUCUCUUUCGAAAAAAAAAAAACAAAAAAAUCUAGUUCACUAACACAAUACUGACUUUUAGCAACGAUUGCCUCCGUCUUUCCUAAAAUCCUAUGAAAAAAAAAUCCCAAUUCUCUGUCUUUUCUCCCCUCCCCGAAGCAUGAAGCUAGCUCUCCGACCCUUAAAACCCUAAUUCUCCCCUCUUUUCAAACCCUAGCCUCUGAAUUUCUUCAAUCUUCCGUCUUGGAUCUGGAAUUGGCUCCACCAUCAGAGCUUUCUCCUCCAUUUAUUACCUUAUAAAAGGUUCUUUUUUUAGAAAUAAUGUUCCUUGAAACGGCACAGAGAACAAGACAGCCUAAAAUACAAUCGAAACCUCCAUAAUCGGGACCACAUUGAGUCGCCCGACCAAAUCAAGUCUCACAUUGGCUAAGAGGCCCAUAGUAAGACCUGGAUAUUCCCGUAAUUGGGUCAAAUUGGUCCAUCGCGUCAAGCUCACUCAGUCAUCGAUUUAGUCUUUUUGAUUCUGUUGACUUCCACUAUUAUACUCGAACGAAGCAUUUCAUUAUUAGUAAGUAUGCCCUGACCGAUUGUGAUAGGGUCUCUGAACUGGCCCCUGAAUAUUGGCAUUGGAAUCAAUUGUUACUCCCAAUGUUGAUCAAUUGAUGUUUCAGAUUACGGAGGUUUCGAUUCUGUUUCAGGCUGUCUUGUUCUCUGUGCCAUUUCAGAGAACGUUGUUUUCGGUAAAAGGAUCUCUUAAAAGUAAAAACGGAGGAGAGAACUCUAACGGCGGAGCCAAUUUUGGAUCCAAGACGAAAGAUUGAAGAAAUUCAGAGGCUAGGGUUUGAAAGAGGGGAGAAUUAGGGUUAAAGGAGAGAAUGAGGUUUUGAAGGGGAGAGAAUAGUUUUGAGGGUUUGAAAAGGAUCAGAGAGAGAGCUUCAUGCUUCGGGAGGGAAAAAAAGACAGAGAAUUGGAUUUUUUUUCUUCAUAGGGUUUUGAGAAGAUUGAGGCAAUCGUUGCUGAAGUCAGUGUUGUAAUGGUGAAUCAGGAUUUUUAAUGAAGUGGGUGUGAUUACUCUUGACUUUUUUGUGAAAUCAGAGUUACGUCUGUAAUUGGAGAAUUAAAAAGGUGUCUAUAAGAUUGAGUAUGCGAAGUGAAUGAAAUUUCUUGGGUUAAUCUAACGAGACAGUCAGUAGAUACAAGAUCAUGAGUAUAAAGCGGUAUCAAAGAUUAGUAGUUUGAAUUAUUCAGGGUUCUCUGUAGCAUCUAGAGACCUACCGGUUGGGGCAAAAAGGACUUCGGUGAGCAGUCAAAGGACAUCCGUAUAGAUUUACGGUAUAUUCUUGUAGUUGUUUAUAUUCCAACAGUCAAAAACUGAUAAACUGCUUGAAUAUUAGCAAAUCUCCAUACUACCUUCUACAGCCAGACGCCCGACGCGUUCUCGAGCAUAAAAGCACGUAAUACGAUAACACCUCAGUAAAUUCAUCCACAAUAGGUCCAAUUCCUGCAUUCCUGAUAGUUACUGCAUUCAUCGAUUACAUAUCGUGAAUAAACAGUAGUGACCCAUUCUUCUUAGCUAUCGUAAACCAUCGACUAGAAUACGGUGCAAAUUAGGGUUCCAAUAUUUUCAUCUUCAUCUUUUCUUUUAAUAGUUCCACCUAUUUAGGUAAAUGUGCCUUUGGUACUGGUAUUGGUCUUAGAUUCUAAGGUACAUGCGGUACAGUGAAGAUAACCAUAGGUGUUAUAAUAUUCGGAUCCACACACUCAAUUUCAUAAGAUUCAAAGACAAACGAUCUACCUUGUUUAGCCAACAUUUUUUUGAAGCAAGUAAUUUCCUCCAGCAAUAAAGAACCAUCAAAACCAAUCUUCAAUUCUUGAAAAGUCUCUUUAGUAAACUGAUGUCCAAUACUUAUUGGAUAUCUUAAACUUGCUUCUUUUAAUGCUUCUCCCAUUUGUUCCUUAGAGUCUUCUGGUAAUGGUCCGGCAAUAGGCUUUACUUUCUUAUCUGCCAUUUUAUAUCUCGUCUCUACAGUGACUUCUAGUGCUUGAAAAGAUUCAAAUAUGCUAUAAACCUCUCUUGAAUGAAUCUCAACAAUCUUAUCAUUAUUUCCUAAUCCAAUAGAUGUAAUCAAUUCCAAUGAAUCUUUCUAUCCAUUUUCUUCAUAAACACCUAAAAUCCUCACAUCAUCUUGCAAUGUACCUAACUUGCAUAAUUCUCCUUUAAUAUUAUAUAAUCUUUUUCUUUCUUUUCUUUUAAAAUCAUCAACUUUCUUAUACAUAACAUUUCCAUUCUCCAAUAUACCAAUAAAACUCACAUCAAAAGUACCUUCAUCUUGCGAGAAUACCUCCUUUUUUUGUACCUCCAUGAUCUCACUUUAUAGUGGUACCUCCCCAAAAUCCUUAAAUCCUUCAACAAUCUUUGGCAAUGGUUUCUCCCUCAACCUAUCUCGAUUCUGUUCAUGGUUAGGAGAUACUGUUAGAAAUUGUAUAGCUUUCCUCCCAUCUUUGCUACGUACCCUUGCAUAAGCAGAACCAUCGUCAAGUACUUUUGUUUCCAUCCAUGUUGCCAUAAUAUAAGAUUGUCCUAAAAUCAAUGGAUAAGACGUUGUAUCUUGAACAAAGAAAUGUUGCUCUAUCGCAACAUCUCCAAUCCAAAUUUUGAUAUCUGGACAAGCUCCGUAUAAUUCGCCCCAUGUGUUAUUAGCUGCUCGUAUUGCCCAUCCAUGUUCCAUAUCAAUUGGCCAUUUUUGCUUCUUAUAAAGAUCUUUAGACAUAAGAUUUAUUUCAGAACCAUGGUCAAUUAAAGCAACAAUUGGUUCUUCUAUAUCUCCUACUUUCACCAAUACCUCAGUAGUUGCCAUUGUCCAAUGCUUUUGAGUAUAAUGAAUCAAAGUUUCUAUUUCCUUAUCACUAUAAUCUUUCAACCGUACUCGUUGAUUAUAUCCAUUCUUUUCAUUUGUUGGUUGCUUGUAACCAAUAUCAACCUCUUCCUCAUCUUUAUAUAUUUUCGCAUCAAUAGCAUGACUAAUUCCAGUUUUGCCUAUUAAUUGCCUUUUUUGCUUAAUGCUGUCAAUGAUGACAUCAUGAACUCCUUCUUUGCAAUUCUCAAAACUUCUUUCAAUGUGAAUUCCACCUUAGCGUUUAAUAUACAUUCUUCCAACACCCCUUUCAAAUUUGUUGCCGCUUCAAUGUCAGAAAGUAGCUUAUAAGCAAUUGAUUUGUCCUUAUCUUUUGUCUCCCUUGUUUUUUCUUCCAAUAAUGCUGAGGUAUCCUUUAUAGGUAAUUCUUGUGAAGCUGCCUCCCGAGCCUUGUCUCCUCGAGUUUACCUCUUAGAAGAAUUUCCUUCUCUCGUAAUAUCAAAAUUUCCUCGUCUCUUUUCUUCCAUCAAAGCUUCAUGUUGGUUCUUAGCAAUAUAUACAUGAAUUGAAAGAGACUCAAUAGGAUUCUCCCAACCUAAUACACCUCGUGUUGUAGCUUCAGUCCUCAAUAACGCUUCUCAAGGUAAUUUCCCUUCUUGCAUUAUAGAAAUGGCACAAGCCCAAAACUCACUAGUUUUCGUAUCUCCACUAAGGUCAUCAUCUACUCUAGCACCAUAACUUGCAGUUUCUCGUGUUGCUAUUUUAUGCUCUUUUAAGUAAUCUUGAACCAAUGCUCUCAUUCCUCCCUUGCCAAAAUUAGUUUGAAGAAGAUCCUCCCUAUCUUUUAAUACUAUCUUCCCAUCUUUCUAGCAAAUAAUUCCUUGUCGUAUCAUAUUAUUAAAUUCAUUGCAAUCUUUCCUAGUGUGUGAAGCAUCAUGACACCAAAUGCAUCUUUGUACAUAUCCUUGUUUUGAAACAUUCUUCGAAUUAUUUGUAGAAGUAUUCUCUUUAAGUCUUGCGAAUUUGAUUUGAAGAUCUCGCAUUCCUCGUGUAAUUUCUUCCAUCUCCAUAUCUGCUUUCUUUGAUAAGGAUGUCAAAGGUUGAACUAUAGGCAUUGUUGGUGGUGUUGUACGUACUGGAGCUUUGGGUGUUUGUACUGUUUUCGGAAUAUUGCUCCUAUCCUUCCUCUUUUCUCUUUUUGUAAGCAACCCCAUCGCAUCUUCAAUGUUCUUCCACUUUGUUGUCAAUCCUUCAUCUUCUUCUUUGUCAUCAAGAAGGAGUUCUAAUUUCCUUUGCAAUUCUCCAUCAGCAGCUAUAAGAAAUAGAUUAACUUUAUUUGGCUCCAAAAUCAAUUUUUCUACCUUCCAUAAUUGAGAGUACUGCCUCUCAAAUUCCUUUAGUAGCUCUAUUGCUUGCAAAUUCUUAUUAGGCCGUUCAAUCCAUUCCAGAAACAACUUCUUAGUAACGUGAUCAAUAUCUUUCAAGAAAUAUUCGUCCUUCAAUGCAUGUGAAAAAACCUCCCAUGAAUUCCCAUAACGAUCCAUAAUCGAUGUAAUAUGGUCUCUUAUUUCCGUUAUCAUGGCAAGUCCAAUUAAUUCAACCAUUUUCUUCUCAAAAACCCGAUUUAAUUCCAUUUUAUGAAUAUAACAUCUUAAAUUCUUUGAAAUAUUCCUUCCAUCAAAUUGAUCAAUUUUAUUGACCACUGCUUGUAAUGCUUUGGUUGCCAAACCUUCCUUUCGAUCAUUGCUUUGCUACUGCUGCAUUGAUAAUGAGAAGGCUUGAAACAUACUAGCAAUAGACGGAUCCAUGUGCAUACCUUGUCCUUUAGAAGAACCUCCAUCAGAAACUCCUCCCAAAGAUCCUUCAAAAUUUUUAUUUUUGUUCUCCAUAAAAAUAAAAAUAAAAUCAAACAAAAUCCAAUACAUUCUACCUCAAGCUUUCACGUCGGGUUUACCUCUUAUGUCAUAUUACGUGCUUUCCUACUGGAGAAUGCACCUGGCCACUAGCUGUAAAAGGUAGUAUUGAAAUUCACUAAUAUUCAAGCAGUCUAUCAGUUUUUGACUGUUGGAAUAUAAACGAUUGUAAAAAUAUAUCGUUAAUCUAUACAAAUGUCCUUCUUGCCGUAAAUCUAUACGAAAUCCUUUUUGCCCCAGCCGAUAGGUCUCUAGACAUUAUAAAGAACUCCUAACAACUCAAUCUGCUAAUCUUCGAUACCUCUUUAUACUCAUGAUCUUGUAUCCACUGACUGUCUUGUUAGAUUAAUUCAAAAAUUUUUAUUCACUCUGCAUAUUCAAUCCUAUAGACACCCUUUUAAUUCUUCAAUUAUAGAUGUAACUUCGAUUUCAAAAAACAGUCAAGAAUAAUCACAUCUACUUCAUUAAAAUCCCGAUUCACCCGUACAACACAUCGACCUUUCAACAUUGAUCGCAAGAAGUCUCUUUUUUGAUCCCUACCCAAAAACCUUGUAUCUUCCCUUUUUCUUAACCUCCCUAAUUCCCGAAUCUCUGAAUCCUCUCCUCCACCCUAACCAUUUCCGAAUGUUUUUUUUUCUGUCUUUCAAAAAAAAAAAAAAAAAAAUCGAGUUCACCAAUACAACACUGACUUUUAGCAAUGAUUGCCUCCGUCUUUGCCAAAACCCUAUGAAAAAAAAACCCCAAUUCUCUGUCUUUUCCCUCCUGAAGUAUGAAGCUAGCUCUCCGAUCCUUAUAACCCUAAUUCUCCCCCCCUUUCAAACCCUAGCCUUUGAAUUUCUUCAAUCUUCCGUCUUAGAUCUGGAAUUGGCUCUGCCGUCAGAGCUUUCUCCUCCAUUUAUUACCUUAUAAAAGGUUCUUUCUCCGGAAACAAUGUUCCUUGAAACGGCAUAGAGAAUAAGACAGCGUGAAACAGAAUCGAAACCCCCGUAAUCGAGACCACAUUGAGUCGCCCGACCAAAUCAAGUAUCAUAUUGGCUAAGAGGCCCGUAGUAAGACGUGGAUAUUUUCGUAAUUGGAUCAAAUUGGUCCUUCGUGUCAGGCUCGCUUAGUCAUCGAUUUAAUCCUUUCGAUUUUAUUGACUUCCACUAUUGGACUCGAACAGAGCAUUUCAUUACUAGUAAGUAUGCCUUGAUUGAUUGUGAUGGGGUCUCUAAACUGGCCACUGAAUAUUGGCACUGGAAUCUGUUGUUACUCCUAAUAUUCAAGAUAACUGAACAUUAAUAAAAGUCCCCUUUCUUUAUAUUUUCACGGUAUACUCGUAUUACAACACGACAACGGAUAUGAUAUUAAUGAAUUUACAUGGGAGCCAAUAAAGAAUCUGGCAAAUAUAGCAAAGAUGAUAGAUGCUUUUCAUUGACAACAUCCAUCAAAAUUAAGAUAAAAAUCUUAUAAAAGAAACAAGAUCUAGACAAGAUAACAUUCUACUUUUAAUCCUUGUUUGUACCUUUUUUAUAGUUGUGACGCUCAAGAAAUGGAGAACCAAUAACUAGCGAAUUUGACUCAAGAGCCUUCGUUUGCUGAUCUACUGGACAAGACAUUACAAUUAUCACAACCUUCAAGACGACGCAAUUGAGAUGAAGAACUUCAAGAACGACAUAUUCUUCCUCGAAUAGAUGGCGAGAUACAACGUGUUUGGUAUCACGACCUUGGAAGGGACUUCCGUUGUUUGGUGAUUUUACUAGAGGUAGGAACAACUUCUAAUGGUGUUUCAAAUGUUUUAUUUGAAGGAAGUUAUGAAGGCCUUAACAACGAUCAAAUAACUAGGUAGUCUUUCCGUCGUGGUAUGGAACACUACCGAUGGUUGAGAGGCCCUAUCAAUCAUCUUUGAAGAGAACAAAGAUUAGAAUAUGUGGUGAAUAUAAUUCGUCGCAUCAUAGAUUGCCUCAACAUAUGAUGACCGCUCCUCGUGGAACUCGUUCCUAGAAGGGAGGGAGAAAAACACAGACAUAUGCAUGUAAGCCAAUAAUUACAUGUAUAAAUAGAUAGAAGUAAGUAAAAGUAGAUAAAAUUAAGUUAAUUCUAUAGUAUUUGAUAUGGAAGCUUUCUAGAAGCUUCAUAGAUACUACUUUGACUUUAUAGAUAUCUUUAAUUGACUUUUUGGAUUAGAAUCGUGAUCAACAAGUUCGCCAUGUGCCACACAUGUUGCUAACUUGAAGACCAAGCUAACUAUGUGGCCCACAUGUAAAAAAACUUACCUAGUAAGUCAAGGCAUGUAUCCUAAAAAGUCAAUAUAUAUUGGAGGUCUUAUAGAACUUCGCCACGUUGUUGGGGUAGAGAGAGUUUGCCUCAAGAAAACGCUGGGCUUCUGGCUGUCACUAAUUAUUCAAUCAAGCUUGAAAAUAAGGGAAGUCCUAAGUUUAUAUAUAAGUUUUAUCUUUUGAGUAAUUACACCAAAUACACGAUCUUCAAGUAACCUACAACUUCCAAAAUAUGAUAAAAUCUUCUAAAACCUUGUUCAUUCUUAUAAGGAGAUUUUUCUGAACUUCAACACCUCAUAUCUCCUAAUCCGACCGUCCAAACUAACUAAAAUUUUACAUGAGAUAGUAAUGUAUUCUUAUUAACUUCUAAAACAAAUUUCAACCGCAAAUUCGAUGCAGAUCUUGAGAUAUCUUAAAAACCCUAACAAUCGCUUCAAACCCUUGUCUUUAUAUAUCUACGUGCAAUUUCUUCAUAUCUCACAAAAAAUAAGCUUAAAUGCCACGAAAUUUGUAUGUAUAGCUUCUUAACACAAAAAUUUACACUCUAAAAAAUUUUGAGCGAAAAAUUCAUCCGAAUACUUAAGUUAUGGCUCCAACCAUUACUACAAACAAAACUGCUUACUUACUGCCUUUCAUUUGGAAGUGCCGCCUUCAACUCCUUACAACUCCUUCAUAUGAACUCUAAAAGCAAUAAUGUUUUCAUAAAAGAUGUAGGCCUUGAAAUCGCCGUUCCAGUCGCACCUUCCGAUCUUCAAAAGCUGUUGUAAAACUCCUCAUACUCUCAAAAGAGUAACAGUAUAUCUUAAAUAAACACCUUAACUUCAAACGGCUAUAACUUUUUCACCUUAACUCCAUAUCCUCUAAUUUUUGCACACAAAUUGUACCCCAAAUCCUAAACUUUACAAUCCUAGCUUCUUAUUUCCGAAUGCUCCCGAAAGAGGAACCCUAAUCCCUAAUAAGGCCUCGGGCAACCUCCUUGAAGCCCAUUGGGCAUGGUAUUCGACCAAUAGGAAUGAAGUUCCCCAUUCCUUGCCUUCAUUCAAUGAUGCUUUGCUUUUAUCCCUCCCUUUUAGCCUCCUAUUAGUUUAGAUUUUCAUCCUUAGGUUUCCACCUUCUCCCAAGGCUUCAUACUAAACAUUUAGGUCUUAUAUAUAUAUAUUUUUUAAUGUCAAAAUCAAAAUAAGUAAAGAAACAAAGUAAAGUUUCUUAUAUCAACUCCUUUUAAUUUAAUCCACUAGCCACUCUAACACACAUCUAGAUUUAUUAACAUAUAAUAUGUUUUAACUAAUUUUUACAUAUUGUAAGUAUUUAUAGUACGACAACGUAGCCCCUAGUUAGAUAGUAUAUAUAGAGACAAGAGUGAAGCCUUCUUCACUCUUGUCAACUCCUUUCUUGCUUCCAAUCUAGUUUCAAGGGUCUCUAGUUUUCUUGACUUUUGGCAAUAGCCAUUUUAGUUUCUUUCUUAAUAUAUAUAUCUCAAAUUAUUACUUUUUUGUCAUCUGUCUAUGAGAGAAGUCUCACUUGUUUAUUUGUCUUUAUCAUGUUCUUGUCCUUCACACCCUCAAACAUUCAGUCAAUCAAUUGACUUUGCUGUGAAGUGCAACAAUCGGCUUUUUGAAUUUUGAUCUAAAAAUUGCUUAAGUAGGCCUCAAUGUUGCUACAAUUUGAUAACAAUACCAAUAUCUCCUCAACACAUACAUUCAAAAAUGGAAGAUAUACAAAUUAAUGUAAUAUAUUUUAAAUUCUUACCAAGGAAGAAAAGAUUUAUUGUUAUGAAGUAAGAUUGUGCUUAUGUUGUGGAGAACCUAAACAUAGUACUCAACACUAUCCAAAGAAGCAACAAAAUUUCAAAAUAAAGAGCACAGUUGUCAAAGAAGACAAUGUGUUAAAAAAUAAAUUUGUCCAGUUACAAUAGGAACUGUGUGGCUAGAAUCUUAUACAAUUCCUAACAAAGGUCUUAUCUUUUCCUUAAAAUCCUCACUUUAUUUUAUAAUAGAUGUAUAUUUAGGAUCUAAUAGUUAUAAAGCCUCCGCUUUAAUAGAUUCAAGAGCCUCAGCUUGUUUCUUAGAUGUAAAAUUUAUUAAAAGUUAUAAAAUAUUGUGAAUACAAAAAAACUAAACUUAUUUAUAUAGAAAUCAUAGAUGGUUAUUUGUUGUCUUUUGGAGGUGUUAUCUAUGAAAUACUUCCUAUAGAUAUAGCAAUAAAUGGUCAUAGUAGUUGCGUAAUCUUUAAUAUAUUAGAUCUCCUUCUAAUUCAGUCAUUUUAGGUUUAUUGUGGUUAGAAAAGUAUAAUCCUUACAUAGAUUGGAUUUCUCGUACCCUUGACUUCUCUAAAAGUAUAAUUAAAAGUGAAAUUAAUCCAGUAGAAGUUAUAAGUCUAACACAAUAAAACUUGUAUUUAUAGAUAUGAGAGCUUUCUUCGAUGCUAUAAAAGUAGGAUCAUCUUGUGUCAUUUAUGCCAUACCUUUUUCCAAUGAUGCAAAGACUUCAAGUAGCACUCUAAGCCAAUAUCAAGAAUUUUAAGAUAUAUUUGAGAAGAAGAAUGCGAAUACUCUUCUAAAAUAUUAUAUCUAUAAUUGCUCAAUUGACCUUCAAGAAAGAGUACAACUAUCAUUUGGACCAAUCUAUAGUUUAUCACAAAAUGAAUUAGAAAAAUUUAAGGAAUAUAUUGAAGAGAAUCUGGCUAAGAAUUUCAUAUGCCAUUUUGUAGAAUAGAUAUUAAUUCGUUUUUGAAAGAUAUUAAUAAAAUAUACUAAUAAUAUAUAGAAUAGGUAAUUUAGGAAGACGGAUGAUUGGGUUUGUUAUUAAAAGUAAUUAAUUAUAAAAUUAUGGUUAGAAUUUAAAAAAUCAAGAGAAAGUAUAAAAGAAUUGUAGAAGUUAGUUUAAGGGCCAGACUGUGAUAGUCAUGAGCUGGAAUAAGCUUGGUACUACCUCUUUCUUUGUUUAAAUCUUAGAUUUUUUUUUCUUUGUAGAAGAAGAGUUAUGGAUAGUUUCUCAAAAAUGUGAAGUAAUGUUCUAGAAUCAAAAGAGAUUCGAUAUUAUCAAAGGAAGAAUUUGAUUUAUUGAAUGUUGAGUUAUACAGUGGUGAAUUGAAAGAGAAUAAUUAGAAAUAUUUGAGAAGAAUGGAUAUAAAUGGAAGAAUUAUAAUACAUUGAGUAUUGAGAAUUGAGAGUAAUUCAUUAAAAAGAGUCUAUAGAGUCUAGAAUUUUGUGAAGAAGUGUGUUGAGAAUGAUUGUUAGUAGUGAAGGAUUCUAAUGUUUAGAUUAUGGAAUGAUUAUAUAGUAUCUUUUAGAGUAGUGUGGAGUUACACAUUGUUGUUAUCAAUGAUGGCAGAGUACUAUUAGAAAGUGAAAAACAUUGUGGUAUUUCUUGGUGUUUUCAAUAGUUCAAAAUAUAGUUAAUUAUAUGAUUCUAAUAAGUAGAGCUCAUGCGCUUAGUCUUUCCUUGCGUUCAAAUAUUAAAGAAAGAGAAUCCUCAAUAUACUCUUCUAUCACCGAAGAAAAUUAGAAAGUCACUCAAAAGAUGAUGUAAUAUUAAUUAGAAUGGCUAUUCCCAAAAACAAGAAGUCUAGAAAGUCUUGAAACAAGACUAAGACUAAAAAGGCGUUGACAAGAGUGAAGAAGGCUUCACUCUUGCCUCUAUAUAUACUAUAUAAUCAAGAGCUAUGUGGCGAUGUCUUAUAGGACCUUCAACAUGUGUUGACUUUGCUAGCCACAUAUCUUAUCUUGCAAGACAAGUUAUCAAUGUAUGCGCCACAUAAUUGACUUGUUUCACAAGCUACUACACAAAGAUAACUUGUUCUACAAGCUACCAAUAUAUGAUUAGCUUUUUGGCCAAGUUUCUAACCUACAAACACAUCUAAAGUUAAAACUAUAUCUUUGAAGCUUCUAGGAAGCUUCUCUAGAAGAUUUUAUGAAAUUAUUCUAUAUUUACCUACUUCUACUUAAUCAUAUAAGUAACUAUUGAGGUAAAUGUAUAUAUCCAUGAUAUUAUUUCUCUUUUUAGGAAUGAGUUCUAUGAGGAGCGGUCUUCAUAUGUUGAAGAAGUUUAAGAUGUAGGAAGCUGUAUUUGCUACAUACUCUAAUAUUUACUCUCUUCAAAAAUAGUUGAUAGGUCCUCCCAACCAUCUAUAGUGUCUCAUAUCAAGGCGAGAAGACCACCCUAUUAUUUGGUCAUUAUUGAGGCCUUUGUGACUUCCUUCAAAUAAAAUAUUUUGAACACCAUCAAGAAUUGUUCCUACUUCUAAUAAAAUCACUAAACAUCGGAAGUCUCUUCCAAGGUCGUGAUACCAAAUACGUUAUAUCUUGCUAUCUAUUUGAAGAAAGACAUGUCGUUCUUUAGGAUCUUCAUCUUAAUUUUGUCAUCUUGAAGGUUGUGACAAUCGCAAUGUUUUGUCUAGUAAGUCCACAAAUGAAAGCUCUUGAGUUGAAUGUAUUAAUUGUUGGUGCUCCAUCUCAUCACAAAUACACAAAAGCUACAAUGAAAGAUAGAAGAUAGAAUGUUAUGUUUCUUUGAUCUUGUUUCUUUUAUAGCAAAGGUUUGCUAUUCUUUAUCUUGAUUUUGAUGGAUGUUGUUGUUCUCGUUGUGUUUAAGCUUUAAUAUACCAAAGAAAUUGAACUAAUCAAGGUGGGUUCGAAUAUGGGGAAAGAUUGGUUAUAUGAAUUAAGUCUAUUAGUAUCAUAAUUGACUGUACUCUGGCUAUUUGAAAUUAAUUAUCAAACUACAAAACACCAAGGCUUACUACUUCCAUCUUAAUUCAACAAUACUUCCACAUUCUUAUCCGUUCACCUCCCACUUACUCUCUUUGUGGUUUAUAUAUAUUCAAUUACUGAUCUCCAGCUUACCUAUUGUAUUCAGUUUUUCAAUUCAUCACACAAAAUUCAAUAUCUCAACUUACGACUCUCACAGUCUGGCACUCCUGACUAACUUCUUAGUAUUCAAAAACUAUCUAUUACUUGUCAACAACAAAGAAACAAAAAGAGGUAGCACCAAGCUUGCCCCGGCUUACGACUAUCACAGUCUGGCCCCAAUUUCCCUCUCUUCAACCUCUUUAUCAUACCAAAAGUUGGACCGUUGGCCAGCAGAUUCCAAAGGUUAUGACCCUUUGAAUUCUUAACCAUUUAUUCCACUAACAACCUACAAUUAUCAACUAAACUGCCUAAUCAUCAGUCUAAUUCUCAAGGUUAUCAAUAACCAACCAGUAACUUACUACAAAGUUUAUUUGCCUAUUCUACAUAGCCAUAUUUCUAUCUGUGUAAUAUCUCGCAAACAUUAUUUAGCCUCAACUUAUAAAGACAUAGCAGCAUUAUCGUAAUACGUGAAGUCUUGCUUGAGAAUGCUCCGAGCAUCUGGCUAUGGAAGGAAGAAUAGAAAUUACAAUAACAAAAUCUUAAUUCUAAUAGAAUACUAAUAAUGCUCUAAUUAGACCAUAAUAAUACUAAGCAAGCUUAAUCAAAUUCAAAAAAAUUUCAAAGAAAUUUCAAACAAACAAUUAGAAUUCUUAAAGAAAUAUCAGAAGGAUCACAAAUAUCACUCAAAUACAUCUCAAUUCAAUCUUAAUUUAAUUCUAGUUAAAAUCUUAUUAAAAUUCAUUCAAACUUUAGGCCAAAAUUAAUUAAAUCUUAAAUCCUAAUAAAAUCCUAAAUCCUAAAUCAAACCUUAAACAAACCUUAAACCAAACUCCAACCAAAUUCUAAACCAAAUCCUAACCAAACCCUAAACCCUAAAUCAAAUCCUAACCAAACCCUAAUUCAAACCCUAAAGCCUAAAUAAAACCUUAAUCAAAUCCUAAACCA
This 84911-nucleotide long non-coding RNA is filed under the name Physcomitrium patens. RNAcentral describes it as "long non-coding RNA (PPAT_LNC010597)". Lineage: Eukaryota; Viridiplantae; Streptophyta; Bryopsida; Funariales; Funariaceae. The record is from RNAcentral.